This 54766-nucleotide long non-coding RNA is filed under the name Prunus persica (peach). RNAcentral describes it as "long non-coding RNA (PPER_LNC001823)". Lineage: Eukaryota; Viridiplantae; Streptophyta; Magnoliopsida; Rosales; Rosaceae. The record is from RNAcentral.
CCAAAUAAAAUUGCCUGGUAUAGGAUAAACCAUUGCAGCUAGGGUAAGUUUUCUUACCAUUUUCACAACUGACGGUCACUGGCUUACUGCUGCUAUCCAUGGUGGUAGGAAAUAUUAUGCCAGAAAAACCUCUUCAGUCUUCAUAGGUACAAAUCAAAGCAAAGCAAUUACUCCAAUCCCAGGCAAUAAGAAAACCCAAAAAAAGGGGUUGAAUUUCAAACUUGAAAACAGUCGAGGGCAUUUGUUUCUUUGGGACGAAGGGCGAAGAACAUUAGGGCGAUGAUGCUUUGGUUUAUAGACGCUCGACGUGGUUACUCUCAGGUGCGCCCCAGAAGCAAUUUGAAAGCCUCUUCUUGCAAUUGGAAUUUGGAUGUAUGAGUUAUUUACAUUUUACUGUGUGUUGUCAAAAUCCUCGUGGUUUUGAAAAUUACACCUUCUCCUGAAGUCUCAAAUUAUUCUCAUUAAAUCCGAUUUUGUUUUGUCUGUUUCCUUGCAUAGACAGACUUACUUUCUUUUUAUGGGCGUGAGACUCUUGUUUAGGGAUUUUUGUGCUUUGAAUAGAAGAUCUUUUCAACCACCAAAAAAAAAAAAAAAAUCUGAUUUUGUUAAUUUUUCGUCUAAAAGUUAAUGAUUUCAUAUAUAAAAAAGCUUACGCAAAUAACAACUUUAAUUUCGGUUCGAUGAAAAGAAUAGUUUGUAAGGGACUUGAAGCUUAAGUAGUUAAGAUGAUAUAUCCUGUCCUUAGUUCAAUUCCCUCUUCCUGAAUUUCGCUUGUAAAAAUCUAAGUACUAAAUUCCUUAUUAUUUAAAGAUAUUUUUUUAUAUAUAAAAUCAUCAAUUAUAGAAGGAAAAAUCAAUGGAAAAAGGUUUCGAGAAAACAAUUUAUAACUUUAUGGAGUAUUUGUGUAAUUUCUGGAACUACAAAGGAUUUAGUAAAAGCACAAGUUUUUGUGUAAAUAACUCUGAAAUGUAUCUGCAUAAUAAAAUAAAUAAAUAAAACUUUGAAAUGUAUAGUAUACCUGUCAUAUUUUAUUUUUCUAUUUUUGUACUUUAAAUGUCUGUUUAUCCUUUUUAUAUUUGAUUGUGUUGAGUGAAAUGCCUCAUUAAUCUUUUAUCCAUAUAAUGGUUUCUGGAUUAACUUUCUUUUGUGUGAGCGUGUCAUUGUUACAAAUAAUACUCUAAUAAAUUUGAAUGACUUUAUAUACUUGAGCCCCAACUAAUAGACUUUAAACAAACGAUUGUGAUUUUGGGUGGGAAACCUCCCAAGAGAGUUAUUUUCUAUGUCUCAGACCGGUGAGGAUUUCACAAUUUAUCUAGACAAAACGGUAAGUAAAGCAAAAUACACAAAUUUAUGGAGAAUAUAACAGACUAAUCCAAGCAGAAUUGCCUUAAGCACAAAGCAUAAAAUGAAUUGCUAAAUCUAGACAAGCCUCAAAUUGUUAUACUUUGACUUAUGCUUAAAAAUACAGUCAAAAUGAUGUUUUAAGGCCAGGCUGGACUGGAUGUUUCUGCACUAGAAUUGCACGUCAAUACCAUCAACUAACAGAGAUUAGUUGUAAAUAAAUACCAAUGUUGGUAUUGGCAAAGCUAUAAAAAAGUUGAGCCAAUAUGUAGGCUGGAAAAGUAAGCAGAACUGCAGGCAAGUACCUGUUCUGGUUGGUUUUGUAUGAUGUGGAAGCUUUCUAUACAAUUUUAAGACAUCGAGGUAUCUUUAUAAACUUGUUGAGGUUUUCAUAUGAUGAAAGACCUGACUUCUAUUUGUGUUAUCUGAUUUGCUGAACCAAAUUUGUAAGAGAAUUCAAUCUUUUUUAAUUUCUGAUUGAAAUAUCUUGUCUAUAUUGUAAAAAGAAUCUCGUCUUCUUUUUGGUUGUCUAAGCUUUUGUUUGAGUUGGGUUGCUCCCUACAGAAGAUUGCUUGCUUGCCUUUGGUAAUUGCACGUUCGUGUGAUCUUUGAUUUCUUUUGAUCAGUCUGGACUAAUUGUUGAGUUUUGUUUCAUUGGUUGUUUGGUUGGGUCCCUUCUCCAGUCCAUACAUUCUUGUAUUUAUAAGAGAAAAAUGAUAAUGAAGAAAUUUGGAUAUUUUUUUAUUUUAGACUAACCCCCAUUUAAUGCAAAAGUGGCAAAAGCUUUGUCAUUCCAAUGCAUUGAUCAUUUUUGGCACCUGCUCAUCAAUACUCCUGAAUGUCUCCUGAUCGUUCAUUUUGCAAGAACUAGACUGAAGCGAGCAAUAAUUCUCAGAUUCUUCCAGUGUUGGUACCAUAAAUAUCCAAAUACUCUGGUAGAAGAAAAUAUCUGAUGAUCAUAUAAUAAAUAGUCGUGAUUCUCAAGCAAGUCUGACUUUAACUUUACAGCUUUUAAGGUCAUCAAUUUUCCUUGGAGUUUAACGGUGAGGAAAUAUCCUGAAAAACUUUAACAGCUAAGAAAUUGUGAAUUUUGGACUGAAACUAAUUGAAAUAAUUUGAUUUUUGGAUUAAAUCACCAUUGGUGGUAAUUUAUUUACUAAUUUAUCCAAAAAUCAUGAAUUAAUUAAAUUCCCCUUUGGCUAAAUAGUAUGGACUAGUCACCAUUUUUGGUAAACAAAGCCCAGCGUUUUGUAAAAUGAACCCAAUAGCCCAUUUUGGCUAGUGCAUAGGAUUUAACCCCAAACAAUACAUGUUCGGCUAGAAUUUAAAUAAAAAAAUGUAUUGUAUUAUUAAUGUAUUGUAUUAUUAUUCUAUUUUUGAUAAGAUUCUAGAAAUUUGUCUAAUUUUAUACCGGAUGUUUUAGGGGCAUUCUCUUAUGUGCAUUUAGGGGCUUAAUAAAAUAGUCUCACUUCGUCAUCUUUUUAUUGCACAAACGCUUAUUUACACAUCAAAAUUCAACACUUCGGUAUUUCUCUUCCAAUUUCAGCCAUAAUUAUUGUUGUCUCAAAAAGGCUUCAAACACGACUCCAAAAAUGCGUGGAUGCAUAGUGGCUUGGAACGCAAUCCUAAAAUGUUUUAGUUGCUUGAUCGGAUCAUAAUUUCAUUCAGAGUGACAAUUUUUUUUUUUUCAACAACUCUUCUACAACAUUUGACCAUUUUUUCCUUGUUGAAAGUCACAAGUUUUGUCAACUUACAAAAAAAACUAGGCCAAAAUUGUUAUAAAAAUGAUAGGUUUCCUUUUCCAUAAGCCAAAUACAAAACAUUUAUAUUAUAAAUGACAUAUAAACAAAUUAGAAAACUUUUAAGGUAUAAUGAAAUUGAAGAAAAAUAAAUUAAUAGAUAAGUGAAAACAAAAUAAAUUAUAAGUAAGAAGGUGAGUUUGGUACGUUGAAGCACAUCAAAGAUGUUGUCCUAAAGCCUUUGUAGCCUCCCUAAGCGCAAGUAUUGAUGGUCUACAAGACUCCAAGAUACGACCCCUUGUACACAAAUUCAAGAUCCGUUAUGAGCACGUUUAUAGACGGAUACAUAGGUAUCUAAGUCACAGAACCGUUGCCAAAAUAAUAAUAUAAAAUAGAGAAUAAAAGUAGAAAAGGAGAGAAUUAGUUUGUGGUGGUGAUUGUGGUAUGUGAUAUUCUAAUGGUGUAUUGUGUUUUUUUAAAUGUGAAGGAGGAGUGGCCUUUUAUAGGCAUCCAAUAAUAUGUAACAUUCACCACAUUAAACUAGAAAAUUAAGGCAUUCAAUAUAGAACUCAUACCUAAAAAUUAAAUAUGUUAACCUCCAUAAUAAAUAAAAGAAAACAGCCAAAUUAAUUAAUUAAAUAAAAGCGGUUAAUUUUUAAAACCUUUUUAAAAUUCCAACAAAAAUAAUAAUACUAAAGUCCUUAUCUAACCUCUGUAUCUCUUUAAUUGAGAGAUAUUUGAGGUUGACCCUUGUAGGAAGCAAGUGCUGAGUUCUUCAAAGACUAGGUAGAUAGAUAAAUCAAAAUUUUACCCAAUUUCUCAGGAUUUGGAUUUCAGCAAAGUGUUUGGUAGCAUUCUUGCCCUCCAUGAAUGCUGGGGGAAUUGAUUCUAAACAAUUUUAAUCAGGGGAAAGAAAACCCUCACUCCAACAAAUAUUGUGUGUUCGAACAUUGAGGACUAAAAAUAUGUGUUUUAGCUAAAAUAUAGAAGAAGCAGAGAAAAAAAAUUUGGGAGAUUUUAGUGGCACCCCAUUAUUUGCUCUUUGCACCUCACAUUUUCUUUACACCCCACUGAAUUUUAGUAAAAUUUAAAACUACUCACUAUACCCCAUUUUUCUUCCUAAAUUGCCCUCAUGAACCUCAUUUUCUAACUUACUGUGUACACCCCAUCCCAUAUUAUACACCACCCAUCGAAAACCCCCUUCUCUUUCAGACACACCCCAUCUCAUAUAAAACCCCACCCAAUUGAAAAUCCCUCAUCUUGCAAACAUACCCUAUCAGAGGUUUGCAACAAACUCCAUCGCACACCCCAUCAGAGGUUUGCAACAAACUCCAUCGCACAACCCCAUCCAAUUUGAAACAGAGCCAUCGUAGCAAACCCCAACCCCAUCGUAAACCCCCAUCGCACACCCCAUCGUCAACCCCAAACGCCUCACCCCAUCGCAAACCACCAUCGCCUCAGCAUCGCAAACCCUCAUUGUCGAUCUGUCAAGUUUUCACAAUUCCAUCUCACCUUAAUAUCCUUUGAAAAUCCAAGGUUUGAUUUCAAUUUUGAUUUUUAUAUUUAUGUUUCUAAGUGUUGAUUAAGCCUAGGUUUGACCAAAGUUUGAUUUUAAUUUUUGAUUUCAACUUUGGGGGUGUAUAGUUCAAACCUGGUUUUACGAAACUGGAUUUUACUUUUGGUAGGUUACCACUGAAAUGGUUACAUUAUUUCAGUGGUAGUCCGCCGAAUUUGAACUUGGUCUGUAUAAAAAUUAAUUUUACUUUCGGUGGGUUACCAUCGGAAUCGUUGCCUUGUUUCGGUGGUAGUCCGCCGAUUUUGUUUCCGUUUUUCAGUAGUACUCCAUUGAAUGUAUUUUCGUUUUUCAGUGGUACUCCACCGAAUAUGUUUAUGUUUUACAGUGAUUGUCCACCUAAUGUGUUUUCAUUUUUCACCGAUCAUCUACCGAAUCCUUUACUGAAUUUGUACUUAAUAUUGUUUUUUAGAUAUGAAGAGGACUCAUACUACUGAGGCUUCAUCAUCUCGACCUGAUAGACAACGUCUCACAGCCUCAACGAGGAGACAGAGAGUGGCUCCCCAAGAUCACUUUGAGGAUACUACAGAGGUUGAAGAUGUAGUUCCUACUCAUGAUAGUAAUGUUGAUGCGGAGGUUGAAAAUGUAGUGUUACUCAUGAUAGUAAUGUUGAGAUACAUGUUGAGCAUACUGAGCCAUCUUGAGUAGGUCCCAUUGAUCCAUCUUUACUUACGAGUUGUAAAACUUACAUAGCAGCUACAAUUUAGAAUCGUGGGAAACGAUAUCUAUUAGUUUUAUAGGUGCAAUCCAUGAUAAGUACAUGUGGAAAUGCACGCAAAAUCUCAAUAUUAAUAGGGUGUGUCUAAAACAAGUCAGUUACAAUAUCACUAGAUGUCCUAUGCCACUCAAUAUAAUUGUGUUCGGAUAACUUAGUAAGCAAUUGUUGCAUUUGUGUUCUCCCAUCAAAUUCUUUGGUUUUAUUUUCGGAUCCUAGCAUUGUAUAUUGUCUUCAUAGUUGAAACAUUCAUUGCAUCUCUAUCCUUCAGGAUGACCAACAUAUCUCUGGGUUUCACCAAACUCUAGACAUGUCCACCAAUAAGGCAUUCUCUUCUUCAGAAAGUCGCCCCACAAAUGAAUGACCUUGAAGAUACUUUGAAAUAGGAUGGUUGUGUACUCUACAAACCACCUCCAACUUCCAAUUAUCCCCAUCACAAAUAUUGACACCUUUUAACAAGAAUGGACAUCCACAUUUCUUAGUACCAAUGUCCCUAGCACAUUUUUUCGUAUCACUAUUUGCAUGCGACCUUACAUCAGUUGUCUCACUAGACUUGCAAGACUUAUAGUUACUGCUCCUUUCACAAGAAAGUAUUACUCGAGGUCUCCUCUUGUCCUUACCUCCAUAAUCAGACCUUCUAAUUAUAAUUACAAUAUUAUUAACUUCUCCUUUUGCAUGAGCCCAUUUAAAUAAUGCAUCUCUACCAUUAAAUAUCUACACAUAAAACUCAUGUUAUUUAAAGUUAAAAUUUGAAACACUAAUGUCACGUUGAUGAUACUAAAAAGGAUUUCAUACCAAAAAAAAAAAAAAACUCAAAUAAUUACCAAAUAAGUUAUGCAUUGAUCACUAUAGUCCAUUACACAUUUUGUUCCUACAUUGUUGCCUUUAGUAAGGGCGUCACCUUGUUUCUAUUCAUUCAAUAGAAGUAAGGUCAAAAUAGCUUACAUUAAAUUUAUGGUCCACAAUAAGUUACUGAAAAAUAAAUAUAUUUCGGUUCGUUGCCACAGAACUGCAUGAAAAAGUUCGGUAAUACACCACUGAACAUCAUUCCAUGUUAUGGUGGAUCUGAUCUCUACCGCAUCUUAAGUUAACGGCCGGUCAAACACAACUGAAAUAGGUGCAACAUUUCAGUGGCAUCCCACCAAAUGUACUUAUCGCAUUCAGUACUGAUGUGUUGAACUCAACCAGUGACCAUCAUGAAAUCCUAAACUUGAAAAAUGCCAAAAAAUAAAUUCAUACCUUAUUCAAGGCCUCUCUAACUUCAGUCUCACCCUUCAUGAAUAAAUACAAGAUAUAUUUCACUAAUAUAAACAUAUAAACCUCGUUAGGGUUGUAGGAACAUGAUGGUUUGAGAAAAAAAGCCUAACUGGGUUGUAGGAACAUAUGUGGGGUGUAUUGAGCAAUUUUAAUUUUAAAUUUUAAUUUUUUUUUAUCCUUAACGGUAAUUAUGUACAAGGGUAAAAUCGGUUAUUCAUGUUUAAAUUUAGUAUGGGGUGCAAAGAGCAAAUAAUGGGGUGCCAACAAAAUCUCCCAAAAAAUUUAGCCCAGCCCUAUAUAAAUUCCUUGUUCUGCCUUGUUUGGGUGGGUUGAGGAAAUUUGUGUGUGGAAGGGGGAAUGGAGGAAGGGCCUGUAAAGAGGGAAGGGGGAUUGGAUUUCAAGGUGGGCGGGGUUGGUUGGAGCUACUGGUGGUGCACAGAUGAUGGGGUAAGGUGAUAUUUUUUAUUUUCAAUUUUUAUUUUUUUUAAGAUUUUCUAUUUUUAAGAUACCCUUGAAAAUGGAAAGACUAAAAUACCCUUAAAAUAGAUGGAAAAUUAGAUGGUGUUAAAGUGAGAAGACAAAUCAUGAAUUUUGAAAAAUUAAGGUGACAUUUUGUCACACCCCAUUUUUUUUUUUUUAGUGGGAGUGUGAGGUAAAAGAAAAACUAAAACUAAAAAUUAAAUAUCAAGAAAGAUGAAGAUUGAACAUAAACUUCUAUUUAAACUAAAGUAAUUUACAUUGUAAUUUUACAAGAAAAAUAACAAGAAAGUAACAAACUUUCAACAAAACAUUCAAAACUAUCCACAACUCUUUCUUCUUGUUUCCUCGUCGCAAACUAAACUUCAGAUUCAAACCUUGCAAUAGAUUCAAUAAGGGGUGAGCACUACAUGCUCAGUAGGGGUCCUAUGUCUUCUGUGAUUAGUGAGAUUUAUAAUGUACAAUUUAUGCAAUGCAUGAAUGAACUUUAAUUUUUCCCAACAUGUUAAUCUAUAUAAUAGGGUAAGCAAAUCUGCAUGUCCCAUACCAUUCAUUUUACCACUGUGCUUCUGAAUGUCCCAUUAUAUAAACUAACACCCAUCUCAAUUAUCACUCAAUUCCCCUUUUGCUAGUCGUCUUGUCUACACUAUUGAUCUCCAAGCCCAAAUCACCAAAUCAACAAUUAUACCUCUGAUUUCCUAGUCUACUGUGCACACGGGCUCCCCUGAACUUGGUCCCUACAAUGGUCAGACUCAACUACACAAAAGAUCCUUCCCAUUACCCUCUUUUCCAUAAUUUCUUUGUCAACCCAAGAAUUCCAACCACUACCGACAACAUAUGAACAUGUCAAUAUUAAUCAAAUUAUAAUGAUAAUUGACAACAUGUAAACACCCAAUAUCAAGGAUAAUAAUCAAAUAAUAUUACAAAGCAUAAUAUAGUGUUCACAAUAUUUAAUUAAAUCAAUUUAUGUAAAGCAUCCCCAAGAAAAACCCCUACCUCAAAUCCCAAGCUAUUGUAUAACUCCCAGUUGCAAGUCCAAGCACUUUGAGCUUCUCCAAAAUCUCACCACACUUAAAUUCUCACUCUUUUCUUUCUUUUGUCUACAAUUUUUAGGAAACUAACGCAACUUGAAGAACUUAUGAUAUAUGAACUAUAAGGUAGGGCUAUUUAUAGCAAGCUAGAGUCGGCAAAGAUAUAGAUAAAAGUUUAAUAUUGUGCCACAUAACUAGCCUAUAGAUUGCUAGACUACUUGGGUGGCUUGAAAGUAAUCUGCCACACCAAAUAGCCUUAUGUAUUGGCUUUGUAGAGUGCUUAAGUUUAUAUAUAUAGGGAUACCUACUGUUCUUACACCUCAUGUGUAACGACCCGGUCCUAAAUAAAUUGAUAAUUAUUAAUUUAUGUAGAUAAAAGACCAUUUUACCCCUAGAAUAUUUUAUUGAGUUUAAAGUUGACUUUGUGACCAGAAAGGAAUUUGAGAAUUUCAGCUGUACCGUUGCGUAGAGCUUGAUGAGAUGAGUUCGUAGACACGUAGUGGACUCGAUUUGGAGUUGUAACGAGGAAGUUACGAUCAAAAGAAACUCAAUGGCACAAUCGUAAUUAUUUUGAAAUGGGAUUUUUAUAAAAACAGAAAUUUCUCUCUCUCUCUCUCUCUCUCUCUCUCUCUCUCUCUCUCUCUCUCUCUCCCCUUGCGCGCAUAAACACCUCCCCGGUUACUGUUCAUCCGAACAAUAUUUCUUCCGCCAUCUCCUCUACCGGCCACCAAACUUCAUGAUAUUGGUACCAAAACGUCAAGCUCACAUCCCUCUUCCUAUCCCAACCCUUCACCACCGCUACCGCUGCCCGUAGUUGCCGGUUGCAGAAAAGUCGCCGAAUUUACCCAUAACUUGAAGGAGCUCGUUCGGGUGAUUCCGGCAACUAAAUUCUUCAAACUUGGUAUGUUUUCUCAUCCUCUCAAUGUGUUCUAGCUGUUGGUUGGGUUGUUUAGAAUUAAUUUCUGCAUUUUGAAAUGAAUUUAAGAGAUUAAAGUUUUGGCCGUUUUCGGCCUCCUAUUCCGGCCACUUCCUUAGACUUUUUGGGGUAGGCCCAAGAACAAAAGUGGUUCCAAAUAGGGUAGGAAGCUGGAUUUCCAGUUGUGAAGAUUUCUGGUUGCCGAAAUUUGAUCAAGCCACCCAUGAGCUGCCGAUGCGUGUGGCGGGGCGUGAACCAUUUGUUGGCCGGUCUUUGAGUCGUAAAAUCAUCCUCAUGUCAUCCCGAGCACUACGGUAUGCUCGGAUAUGAAUUUGGAUAUCGUUUGAUCGUCGAUCAGAUAUGGCAUAUUUUGUGAUAUCGAGGUUCGAUUGGUUUGAGCCGUUGGACCGUCUUGAAUUUAAUAUAUGUUAAUCUAGACAUUCUUAGGUCGUAUGGAAUUCGACGGAUCGUAAAACGGAGUCCCGGAUACUCCGAAAAUGCCAACCCUAAGGCUAGGUUCCUAGUAACCGAGUAACCAUCCGAUCCGGACCAAACUUGCGGGACGUGUAUCCUAAACCUUGUGGAACCUAUAGGAACUUUCAAAUCGGAAUUUGGAGGUCGUGUGCCUGUUUGACCAAGUUGGGGUAGUUGGACCCCUCGGUUGACCGUGAGUCUUCCGAGGUAUUUUCACCUUUCGGAAGGUAUUAAGAUAACUUUUUUAUCGAAUCUUAACUGUUAUUUGAGGUUAAAUUGGAAAUUGAUUCGAUUUAGGGUUUUCCUUAGAGGUUGUUGCUUAUCAUUAAUUAAUAUUAUUUAAUUAUAAAUAAAGUAUAAUGUUCUAGUUGUGUGAUACGGUAUUUUAUGGAAUUUGUGUGAAAACAAGUGUUGAAUAAUAUUUAAAUUGUUCUAGGAUCUUUAUGAAAUUUAUGUUUAUGUGUAUGAUCGUUGGUCUAAAAAUAAUAUUAUUUUCCUGAUUAAAUUACGUUGCAGUCUACUAUCGACUGGUAUCACUAUAUUAGGAAUACAUCUAUUAUUAGUUUAGAUAAUUGAGAGUAUGUCAGUUUGAAGUCCUAUACGCACUACUCUAUGUACCUCUCCGGAUAUUGAUUACACUGUAAGUACUAUCCUGUGAUUGUUAGGUCCCUCGUGGUGUAGGUUAUCUGGCGUAAGGACAGACCCCAUACAUGGCGUUGGAUGUUCCGGCGUAUGGGGGAGAUUAUGUGAUGGUUAGUUCACACGUGACGUAGGUUAUCCGGCGUGUUAAUAGGCCUCAUACGUGGCAUUGGAUGUUCCGGCGUAUGGGGAGAUUUUGUGAUUGUUAGGUCCCACGUGGCAUAGGUUAUCCAGCGUGAGGACAGACCUCAUACGUGGCGUUGGAUGUUUCGGCGUAUGGGGGAGAUUAUGCGAUGGUUAGGUCACACGUGGCGUAGAUUUUCCGGCGUGUUGACAGAUCCCAUAUGUGGCUUUGGAUUUUCUAGCGUAUGGGGGGAUUAUGUGAUUACAAGGGAGAUGAAUAAAGGAUUGUUAUGUUAUAUUGGGAAAGAACUACGUGUGGUUUGAUCCUUCAGUAAGGGUACGUAGGCAGCCUAGGGUAGUGCCUAGGUGCAACCGUAGACUAAAUGUUGUUUUAUUGAGAUUGGUUCUGACCUUGUCGUUGGUCCUUAAAUUUGGGUGAAAACGAGAUGUGAUUGUGUUAGGAGGUUAAAACCUCGUAUGUUGGAUAUGUGGGAAGUUAUUUUAUACUGAUUAUAGUGGGCAUUCAUAAAUUGUCUGAAUUCAUUAUUGGCAUUGUUUAGAGUUUGUUUGAUGGUUUCGCUUAAGAUUAUUUGAAGGCCGGAGGCCAUCUAUGUGAAUUGCAUGUUGUUAUAUUGUGCAUGCUGCCUGUUGGGAUAUUAAAUUGUAAAUUUUGUGCAGGUUGACAUUUGGGGAAUGUUCAAUUUACAAGAGAGACUCUGCCAAAAUUUCGCUAGAAAGUCUCGUGCCCUUAUUCCUUUUUGGGAAAAAGGAUAUAGUUUUAGAAGUGGGCCUGACAUCGGGGUGAUGUCAGAUAUCCACAAGAUUCGUCUCGAGUUCCGAAGAAUUUGGGGCGGGUCCUGUCAUCAUGCCAAUAUAUCCCACCUCAUGCUUUAAUUGUUUUUGAGGAUUCCAUUUGCAACACGUCAAUCUUUAACAGAAAGCUUAGUAAGCAAACAAAAAUCUUUCUAAAUGCUUUUGUAAAGUGUGUGUAUAUAAUAAAUAAUAAAUAAGGCUGAAAUGAAUUGAUAUAGUUAAAGCCAUGCAAUAAGAUUUGAUAGGCUUAUGCUAGUUAGUGUUUUUUUUUAUUUUUUUUUUGGACUUUUCCAAUUGAAAGGGGCGAUAGCAUAUUAAACUCACACACACAACACAGAUGCUAGGACUCAAACCCAGGACCUUGUCUGACGGAAUAAAUACUCCAAACCACUACACUAGUGGGUUCUUUGCAUGCUAGUUAAUGUUUAGAUUCACGUAACAUGCCAUAUAUAUAUAUUAUCAAUUAUAUCUUUUGAAAACUAAUAAUUUUAAAUAAUUAAUUUUAUGAUAUAUUAAUAUACAUAUAUAAAAAUAUGGGUUUCACACAUUUCUCUUAAAUUUUUCUUUAAAAUGAUAAAUUGUUUUCAAGGUAUAAGUUCAUGUUAGAUUUUUUUAUAUAAAAAAUCCCUUGAAGAAAUUAAGUGCUUGCAUAACAUCAGAAAAUUUAUUUUCAGGCACUUAUUUUCUCAUGGCUUGGGGCAAUGAAUUGCAUGUAUGCUAACUAAGAAUCAAUUCUUGAAAACUGUCAACCAAGUAAAGAAUAAACAAGGCCUCUUUUUAUAUUUUGGCGAACCAAGAGAAGUUCAUUGAACAGAAAUUUAUUCCAAAAAACAGUGAAAUUGAUCCUUGACCUCCCUCUUGAUAUCCACACAUCUUUGCACAUCCAUCAGUGCGGAAUAGAUUCAUCCUAAAGAUAACAAUUGCCAAACCACCCUACUUCGCACAUCCAUCAGAGCCGAGUUUUAUGUCCCUUGAAUUCCCAAUUCAUCAAGCAUGGCAGAUAUCGUGUUCCUAAUCAUUAAGGUCUCGGUAAAAAGGCUAACACAAGAGAAAACCUUAAGAUGGGAAUGACAUACUUGGAAUUGGAGCCGAUCUAACGGUUCGAGCAUAUCAAACCCAGAUAUUGCUUAAUAGGCAUAAACCCGUUUGACUGUCAUAUGAUAACCAAAUUCGAAUCCGAGCAUACCGUCGCACUCAGGACCACAUGGAGAACAGUUUAGAACACAAUGGGCCGCCACACCAUGGCCCACACGCCGCCACAAAUGCCGGCAGCACGUGGGUGGAUUGAGAAAAUUUCGACUACAGAAAAUUCUUGAAACACCCUACAAUACCUAUACCAAUACGUUCAAACCAACAAUGGGAACACUUUUUGUUCUUGGACCAGGGCCAAAAUGUGACCGGAGCUAGAUGAAAUCACGACCAAAGCACCAGCCUCAUAUGGGUAUAUUGAACAAUCGUAAACCUCAAAAUCGAUUUACAAUACUUACAUAAACAGAUGGAGCACAAAGAGUAGAUGAAGUUUCAUACCUCACUCAACAAAAAUAGCAGUCGGAGUUGCCAAAAACGGUGCCAAAAACUUCUAAAAUCACCCAAACUUCCAAUCAUUCCAGUUUAAUUUCCUUCGGUUUUGGAGCUCGGAAAAUGGGUGGAUUAGAUAGAGGACGUCGAUACGAAACUUUUGCUACCAAUUUCACCUGAGUCGAACACUGGACGACGACGAAAUCGCCGUCAGAAAUUUGCUGCGUGCGGAGGGGAGAGAGAGAGAGAGCUGAUCUGUUUUUAAAAUCCAACUUCAAAAAAUUUACGAUUGUGCCACUGCACUUCUGUUGACCACAACUUCCUCAUUAAAACUCCGAUUUGGGCCUACUACAUAUCACGAACUCGUGAGAGCGAGCUCUACACAACGGUGCCACUCAUUUCCCCUAGAUCCUUCUAGAUUAAAAAGGAGUGGUGCUAUUUUCACCUACCUGUCCUAUUUUUUCACCCACUUUAUUUUCCCACCCACCAUAUAAAUUUGAAAAAACAUAAUCCUAUUUUUCCACCCACCAUUAUUCCUAAAAUACCCUUUAUGUGCAUCCCACCAUUGUUUUUGUAAAUCAUUCAUAAUCAAUGUAUGAACUUAAAUACAGAACACGAGUUUGGGAGUUGUCUGUGUAUAUAGAAACCGAGGAAUUGAAACUAUUUGUGCAAAUAAUCUCGCAAGAGUAUAUUAACUUCUAGAUCCUCCAACCUUCGAUCUUCCUUCUCUCUCUUCCUCAUUUCCUGUAAAAAAGAUUGGAGUAAAUAGACCACACCCGGGGGUGUUGGCCAAAGGCCCUCCAAUGCCUAAGUUAGUUCAAGUGUUUGUAGGAAAACAAUAGCUAAGCAAAGGGUACGGAGUUGUAUGUAGGGUGUGAACAGGACAGCCGGAGCCGUGUGGAGAAAAUAUGGAGAGUGGAGAGGGAGAGAGAGCUUCAGAUAUUUUUCUCGAGUAUUAGGAGUAGGUUUAGAUGUACCUUGAAUGAUGAAUGAGGUCGUCUAUUUAUAGGAGCCUCGGGGCUAGGGUUUUGUAGAGAAUAUGAUGAGUUUAUUCUCUAUCCAAAUUCAUAUUGAUCGAGUCGAACUUGAUAAUAUCUUAAUUAAUGUUGUAAAUGCAUGAGUUGGUGGAUGACCACCAUACCUCUUAGUAUUCCACCGUUGGAUUUUAUGUAACCUAUGCACUAAGUAUUUGUAAUUAGUGCUUGUAACCUAUAGGUAUAUUGUAAAUGAUGGUAUUCAAUCUCCUAUCUUGUAAGCCUAUAAAUAGGUGGUUCUACCAAAGAUUAAGACAUGAAUAAACAUGGUGAAACUUUAUCUUUAGCAUAUCACUUCUCUCUACAUUUUCUCCCUUUAGUUUUAUAACACGUUAUCAGCACAACAUUGCUCUUGGUAUGUUUUCUUUCUCUGAAUUUUCUUUCUUCUUAUAUGAGCUAGAGUCAUCACAUGGUAGAGUUUCUUUGUACUCACCAUCAGACUUCAUCAUGCUUGUUUAAGAAAAAAAAAUUUCUUAUUCUUAUUACACAUGAAUAUAAUGCCAUGUUUUUGUUUUUAUUUGUUUGUUUAUUUAAUUUUAAGUAUGAUCUUAAUUAUUAUGAUGAGUUUGAAUUAUACAAAAGAUCAGGGGCCCGAAGUUCCGUGAUCCUCAUCAUAUAACUAGAUUAGGACAUAGAGUCCUUUUGAUUGAAUCAGAACCUGAAGUUCUUUGAUUCCAAAUAAUUGAGGACGUGAAGUUCCGCAAAUUUAAAGAGCACAUAAGGACAUGAAACUCCUCGAUUUUGUAUUAAUCAAAAUCAGAAUUCCAUGAGGCCUACAUAUGUCAAGAACUCGAACCAGAAGUUUCGAGUGCAUAUACAUCGAUUUGAGUAUGAAGUUCAAAGCACAACUAUUAAUUCAAUUUAUUUAGAUCUACAUAUUCGAACCCGAAGUUUCGAAUAUAGAUUGAUAUGAACCUGAAGUUCAUAGUUUUUCAUGGAUCUUAAUACUACAUAUGAACCUAAAGUUCAUUACUUAUUUGUGCCCAUAUGAACCUGAAUUGGUUGGAAAUCCAAUUCUUAAACUUGUAGUUUUAUCUACAUAUUGAAUCCACAUUAAUAUUGGAUUAUCUUGGAAUUUCAUAGUCUUUAAUUUAUUUAUUUUAUUCCUUGUUUAUACCACUUUACUCAUUUUAUUUUAUUUAUGUUGUGUUAUUAGUUAAUUUCGUUUUACAAUGGUAAUGUUUUGUAUUACCGCCCCAAUAUUGACGGCCAUAGACGUCUAUUGGAGAAACUUCCUGCUUUCUUUUGUGGGUAGGAAGUUUAUGAUGUCAUGAACCAAAAGUUCAUGAGGCCUCAAUAUUACACAACUAUUAAAGUAGUUGAAGUUUAUGAUGUCAUGAACCAAAAGUUCAUGAGGCCUCAAUAUUACACAACUAUUAAAGUAGUUGAAGAUUAUGAUGUCAUGAACCAGAAGUUCAUUGACCGGAUAACUUUUAUGUUGUGGCAUGACUCUCUUGGCAAUCCAUGUUCCUCAAUGAUACAUAAGAUUUUUAUAAAUUUGUAAGGACAUCGUUUAAAGACUCAAAAUAUUGUCUUGUCCAACAAAUAUCAUUACAAAGAAAGCUCACAAAUAAAAGCUGUCAUAAGAUCAUCCCAGUUAAAAAUUGACUUUGAGCCCUAAUUCAAGGGGAUAUUUGUGAGCCUAUACAACAUUUAAUUAUGAAUUACUUCACCAGUUUUACUGAAUGCGCCUACUAAAAUGGUCACAUAUUUGAUAAUGACUGUGAGUUUAUUUUCCUAAAUUUUGAGACAAUUUUCACGCCGUUAGGGGGAGAAAUGGCAGUUUCUGAAGAACGUCGUGAAAUAGUGUUGAAUCAAUCCACUUUUGUCUCAUCAAGAUAAUGCAUAUAUAAGUUGUACAUAUGCUAACAUGGAUUGAUAUUCUUGUAUCACAAUCCAUUAACAUGGUGACUAUCUAUAUAAUGCAUGCCUGAAGCAUGACAGAAAUAUAGGUUCUAAAGACUUAACUCCUCAGAAAUGGAGAUUAUUUGAAAAAUUCAAGCCCUAUAAAAAAUACGCUCUAUAGGAGGUUAUGAUCCACAUAUUCUAAAUAAUUCAUUGUAAAAGAGAUGUUUGUCCCAUAAGUGACAACAUAAGCCCCUGAAGAGGCAUUGGUACCCCAAAGCAAUGAGAUGAUUAUAAAUUAUACAUGCACAUGCACAUAAGAAUUGUGGGAUCACAAAUCGAUGAUACAUUUGGUUUAUUAGUAGCUACUACAAUCAUCAAGGGCUAUGAUUAUAUUAAAUCACGUUUCAUGAAUGUCGACAAGUUAAGUGAUUGGCCAAAAAUGAAAAUAGGCAAUUCCAUUUAUCACUAAAUAAGAAGAGUUGCAUAUUGAACCUAUAACUCAAACACCAAAUUACAAAUGUUCAGUAUGAAGGUUACGAAUUGGUGUUUUGUGAAGUGAAAUAAGAUCACUAAUAUGACAUAAGGUUUCCUGGGAGAGACAUGUGGUUUUAGUCUCCAAUCUCAUCGUAAAUGCAUCCACAUUUCUAUAAGUGCGGUUGUUACUUUAACGCAAAACUUAUAGCAUGUGUUAAAUGCAUAUUUAUUAAGACUAUAUGGUACAUGGAAAUCAUUCAAAGCUUAUGAAAUAUUUAAGAUAUAUCGGAUGAAGCAACCUCUUGAAGGAUAUAAAAUACCACAAUAUUCUUAAUUAAGAGUUAACACUAAGAGUUUGAGUAUUUUGAAUUCAAAUUUGAUAUUGUUGUAACAUAUUCUAACUAUUAAAUUAGUUGUUGAUGCUCCUAAAUAUUUCAAUCAUUUGAAAAGUGAAAAGCAGGUCGAAUAACGUGAUAGAUGAUCAUGUAUGAAGACAAUGUUGCUUGUAUUGCUCAAAUCAGAGAAGGGGAGAUAUUAAUCAGGGGGAGAUAUCAAUCAGGGGGAGAUAUCAAUCAAGAGGAGCAUCCCCAUUCUACUACAUACAGGACAUAUGCUUGUUGUACUCUUUUUCCCUUCGACUAGGUUUUUGUCCUACUGGGUUUUUCCUAGCAAGGUUUUAAUGAGGCAACAUAAGUGCAUCCAACACCAUAUUAAUGAUCCAGAAGAAAGUUUCACUCUUUUUCCUUUCGCUUCGGUUUUGUCCCUCUGGGUUUUCCAAGCAAGGUUUUUAAUGAGGGAACUAUGUCAUUGUAUGGUGGACAUCCAAGGGGGAGUGUUGUAAAUGCAUGAGUUGGUGGAUGACCACCAUACCUCUUAGUAUUCCACCGUUGAAUUUUAUGUAACCUAUGCACUAAGUACUUGUAAUUAGUGCUUGUAACCUAUAGGUAUAUUGUAAAUGAUGGUAUUCAAUCUCCUAUCUUGUAAGCCUAUAAAUAGGUGGUUCUACCAAAGAUUAAGACAUGAAUAAACAUGGUGAAGCUUUAUCUUUAGCAUAUCACUUCUCUCUACAUUUUCUCCCUCUAGUUUUAUAACAAUUAAAUGAUAUUAUCUCUUUUUAUGAAGAUAAUAUCUGAAUUAAUGAUAUUAUCUUAUUAAAUAAAGAUAAUAUCAUAUUAAUUAAGAUAUUUAUCCCUAUUAAUUAAUUGGCCAGAUAAACUGGUUCAAUUAAUUAAUUUGAGAGAUAAUCUUCUUUUCCAUGUGGCGCGCUGUGAUUGGAGACGAAAAUAUUUGCUCCCACAGAAAUUAACUUCAAAUUUGGGAAGAGUUGAAAACCUUAAACAUUGCAUCACAAAUCCAAUGGCUGGUAACAAAUUCGUUUCCUUGUAUUUCAGUUUCUUUGUACUUUAGUUUUACAUUUUUUUUGUGGGUGUUAGUGCUCGCGUGGUUUUCCUUUCUGGAAGCCUAGCUUUGUACGAUCUGUUUGUCCUCUUCCUUAAGGAAAGCCCACUUUGAUCAAAACAAAAAAUCCAAUACCAGGUAGUGCUAGGGUUUGGAGAGGGCUGUUAGGGAUGGAUUCGAAGAGAGAGAUGGGAGAAGAGAGAGAAAAAAGGAGAUGGAUUAGGAAAGAAGGUGAGGUCUGGGAAGGUUUUUUUAUUUUUAUGAAAAACUGGAGAUGAAUUUUCAAUUUUAAAGCUUUUCCCUUUGUUAAAGUUUUUUUUCUAAAAUAUUUAAAUAUUUAAAUUUUACAUUUCAUUUCAUUAUUCUUAAGUACUUAGAAGUCAUUUUAUAAAGGGGUAAAUUUAUCUUUAAAAUUUUGAAGAUAAAGUAGGUGGGAAAAUAGGAUAAGGAGGUGAAAAAUUAGAAAUAGCAGCACUCUUAAAAAGUGACCAUAGUAAACCUACUCCGAAGGGUAAAAUUGUAAUUUCACAAAAGAAUUAAAUUGAAUUAAAUCAAUUAAUUUGGGUCAAGAAUGUUACAGUAUGGACUAGUCACCAUUUUUGGUAAAUAAAGCCCAACGUUUUGUAAAAUGAAUCCAAUAGCCCAUUUUGGCUAGUGCGUAGAUUCUAGAAAUUUGUCUAAUCUUGUACCGAAUGUUUUGGGGGCGCUUUUUUUAUGCCAUGUGUUCUCUUAUGUGCAUUUAGGGCAUAAUAAAAUAGUCUCACUUCGUCAUCUUUUUAUCGCACAAAUGCGUAUUUACGCAUCAAAAUUCAACACUUCAGUAUUUCUCUUCCAAUUUCAACCAUAAUUAUCGUUGUCUCAAAAUGGCUUCAAACACGACUCCAACAAUGUGUGGAUGCAUAGUGGCAUGGAACACAAUCCUAAAAUGUGCUAGUUGCUUGAUCCAAUAAUCAAUUUCACUCAGAGUGACGAUUUUUUAUAUUUUGGCGAACAAAGAGAAGUUCCACACAACUUUGCACAUCCAUCAGUGCGGAAUAGAUUCAUCCUAGAGAUAACAACUGCCAAACCACCCUACUUUGCACAUCCAUCAGAGCCGGGUUUUAUGUCCCCUGAAUUCCCAAUUCAUCAAGCAUUGCAGAUAUCGCGUUCCUAAUCGUUAAGGUCUCGGUAAAAAGGCUAACACAAGAGAAAACAAUGAGAAAAUGAUGCUUAUCGAUUCCUUUGAUGCCAUGUUGACAUGAUUCCAUAUAAAACUAAUCAAUCAUUGACACUGAAGUAGUUCCUAUAAACGAACCGUGGCCGCUUAAGUAGGCUAGCUGCAUCUCAGAGGACAAUUACUCAAAGAUUGACCUGGGGCUUCACUUUCAUUACUUCUUUCACAACGAGGGAACCGCGCCGCAUCAGUCGAUGUGGUGGAACGCCCUCCUGAGUCAAAGAUAGAGCUUUUGCUCCUCUCUUCAAGAGAGAUGCUUCGGUAUCUGAAUCGGCUGAAGGAGAGUGAAGAGGCAGCUACUCUCCCAGCCCACGGGUAGCCUCUUCUUUCUGGUCUACAUCAAGUGCAUUGAAUGCCCCAUAAUCAGAAUCAAAGAGGAUAGGUCAAGGAGAUGUUCGGGACGAAACCUGAGUGGAUCUGAGGCAAAGCGGAGCCUCCGGAGGUACGGCGGCUUGUGCUGUGCCGUCAUUUCGGAUUCCCGACUGAUUUCGGCACUAGUUAAAUGGGGAAAAUCACCCGGAUCUUGAAUCAACUAGUAGAUCAUCAACACAGGGUCCCAAUUCAUUUGGCGACCGCGAAGUCACCGAAUGAACUGCCGAGCUGGGACAGCCCGUGCGUGACCCAUACGAAUCCUACAGUCAUUCUUAUCUUUUGAAAAAUGGACAGAAAUUAGUUUCUUCCACUCCUCACCCAAAAUACAAUACAUUAUACCCUAAUAGAAGCAAUACAUGUGCACAUUGUACAAAAUCAACUUUCAAGGGUAACCAAAGUCGGGAACCAUAAACAGAACAAUUUGGGCGAUGCUAUGGCAGGCAUUUGUUCUAAUAAGAAAGCAUUAUAUAAAUCUAAUUAAAAAUCUAUGGUAGGCUGCCGAGUAGAAGAAAGAAAAACUGAAUUUACUUCCUGCAAAAGUUUAGUAAGAUGUGGGAUACAAUUUAAACCUUACUUUAAAGACAAUUUCCAGGGUAGAGGACAGCAUUAUAGUAUUGUGCCAAAAGCAAGCUAAUGCAUAUGAGUGAUGCAGCAUCAGGUGGCUAAAAUAAUUACAUCCUCACCGGUUUCAACAUAUCAGAUCAGACAUCCUGGAUAUCUACCUUCCCUUGAUACACACUUAACAGUUCAGGUACUUUGCCAAGAUAUCCGUUCACAAAACUCUCCAAGAACUGCUUCUCUGCCGGUUUCAGCAGAGAACCCAGAUUCAAGUUCCCAUUUAUGAAACCUUUCGACAACAGAACUUUAACAACAGAGCACCUUGGGAUAAGUCUCUUCUCUAUACUGAGACCGAGGACCACAGGAUAUUUGGCAAUCAUUCCUGACGACCAUCCCAUCUUGUUCACUAAAAGAUCCAUUGCUUGCAUAAGUUUCUUCUCCGAGACAAUCAUAGACAGCGGGUUCUUCCUGAAAGCGGAGAGAAAAUCAUCCUCAGACCAACCCCAUGUCUUAAGAACUUCACGACUUCUAUUCAAUACCAACUUAUUCUUACCACACAAUGCACACAGGGCAUUCACUGAAGUUGAUUUUUCCAGAUUAAAUCCCAUUUCCUUAACCUCACCCACAAGUUGACCAAAUUUUUCAGGAUUUACCAUCAAAGAGGGAGUACAGUGAGCUAACAACAAAGAAAUGCAUGGUUGAGGCAUACCCGAUUCUCUCAAAAGCCCAAUAUUUGGAACAACAUGCUUGCGGUGACUUUCCAAGAAAAUCCAUGAGUUGCGUUUUAAAACAGCAACAACAUUUUUCUCAGAGAGCAUACUCCUGAGGAAGUUAUAAGUGGGCAAAAUCCGAUUUCUCAAGCUGGCUGCCAAAAGCUGUGGAUUAAAAGUCAGAGUUUUUAUAAGGUCCACCUUUGAAAUUUCAAGAGAGCUGAAAAACUCAAGCUUUGGCAAAAGGGUUUUCUCAGGAUCAGCUGAAAGAAGUUUUGGAUGUGACCUAAUAAGCUUUGAUAUCUGGGUUUGAGAUGCUCCAUAGUUUCUCAGAAGCUCUAAAACGGAGUCUGCUCUUUCUGGUGACUUCAACUCGACCCGCUUACAAGCUGAAAUCGCUCCUUCUGGGGACAACCCGCAAGUGUUUAUGAGGUAAGUGACUGUGAAAUUGUGUUGGUUUUCUGAGAUUUCUGACGUGAUGCGUCUGCAGAUCAACUGACUCUGAAGAGAAAAAUGUGAGGGUUUUGGAUCUCCAACCAACACUCUGUUUGUUUUGGAAGCAAAUGUACAAGAAAAUAUUGAGUGAACCAAUCUGAAGGUCUUCAAAUUGCAGAGUUGAAUCAUGUUAGAGGUUGAUGAUGAACAAUUUCUACAGGAAAACUUAAAGCCCUAGCUGAUUCUCUGCCUUCAGAAAAUAUGCAGUUCUCGGCAUUCUAAAAAGAUCUGAACCAUCCAAAUAAAAUUGCCUGGUAUAGGAUAAACCAUUGCAGCUAGGGUAAGUUUUCUUACCAUUUUCACAACUGACGGUCACUGGCUUACUGCUGCUAUCCAUGGCGGUAGGAAAUAUUCUGCCAGAAAAACCUCUUCAGUCUUCAUAGGUACAAAUCAAAGCAAAGCAAUUACUCCAAUCCCAGGCAAUAAGAAAACCCAAAAAAAGGGGUUGAAUUUCGAACUUAAAAACAGUCGAGGGCAUUUGUUUCUUUGGGACAAAGGGCGAAGAACAUUUGGGCGAUGAUGCUUUGGUUUAUAGACGCUCGACGUGGUUACUCUCAGGUGCGGCCCAGAAGCAAUUUGAAAGCCUCUUCUUGCAAUUGGAAUUUGGAUGUAUGAGUUAUUUACAUUUUACUGUGUGUUGUCAAAAUGCUUGAGGUUUUGAAAAUUACACCAACUUCUCCUGAAGUCUCAAAUUAUUCUCAUUAAAUCCGAUUUUGUUAAUUUUUCGUACAAAAGUUAAUGAUUUUAUAUAUAAUAAAGCUUACGCAAAUAACAAAUUUAAUUUCGGUUUGAUUAAAAGAAUAGCUUGUAAAAGGCUUGAAACUUAAGUGGUUAAGAGGAUAUAAUCCCGUCCUAAGUUCAAUUCCCUUCUACCGAAUUUCGCCUAUAAAAAUCGAAGUACUAAAUUUUUUAUUAUUUGAAGACAUUUUUUUAUAUAAAAUCAUCAAUUAUAGAAGGAAAAAUCAAUGGAAAAAGGUUUCGAGAAAAUAAUUUAAUACUUUAUGGAGUAUUUGUGUAAUUUUUGGAACUACAAAGGGUUUAGUAAAAGCACAAGUUUUAGUGUAAAUAACUCUGAAAUGUAUCCCCAUAAAAAAAAUUAUAAAAAAUUAAAAAAUUAAAAAAACUAUGAAAUGUAUAGUACAGUCCCGAUCUCUUGGACCACAGGAGUCCAAGAGAUUGUGGUCACCCACCGUUGGAUAUUAAUCCAAUGGUUCAAAAUGAUAUAUAUAAAUGCAAUAUGACAUAAAUGAUUAUUACCCGAUUCAAGUCAACCGUUGAAUUUACAUCUAACGGUGAGUGACCAUAACUCUCUUGGACUACAGGGGUCCAAGAGAUCAGGACUGAUGUAUAGUAUACCCGUAAGAUUUUAUUCUUCUAUUUUUGUACAUUAAAUACUUGUUUAUCCUUUUUAUAUUUGAAUCUGUUGAGUAAAUUGCCUCAUUAAUUUUUUAUUAACUUUUUUUAAUGUGAGCGUGUCAUUGUUAGCAAAUAAUACCCUAUGAAUUUGAAUGACUUUAUACACUUGAGCCCCAAGUAAUAGACUUUAAACAAACGAUUGUGAUUUUGGAUGGGGGAACCUCCUAAGAGAGUUCUUUUCUAUCCCUCAGACUGGUGAGGACUUCACAAUUUAUCUAGACAAAAAUGGUAAGUAAAGCAAAAUACAUAAUUUGUGGUGAAUAUAACAGACUAAUCCAAGCAGAACUGCCUUAAGCACAAAGCAUAAAAUGAAUUGCUAAAUCUAGACGGGUGUCAAAUUGUUGUACUUUGACUUCUACUUAAAAAUACAAUCAAAAUGAUGUUUUAAGGUCAGGCUGGACUGGAUAUUUCUGCACUGAAAUUGCACGUCAAUAUCUUCAACAAACAUAGAUUAGUUGGAAAUCAAUACCAAUGUUGGUAUUGGCAGAGCUAUAAACAAGUUGAGCCAAUAUGUAGGCUGGAAAAGUGAGCAGAACUACAGGCAAGUACCUGUUCUAGUUGGUUGUGUAUGAUGUGGAAGAUUUCUAGACAAUUUUAAGACAUUGAGGUAUCUUUAUAAACUUGUUGAGGUUUUCAUAUGAUGAAAGACCUGACUUCUAUUUGUGUUAUCUUAUUUGCUUUGUAACACCCCGACUCCAAAAUUAAUGUCUAUUUUAAUUGAUUUAAAUUAAAUUACGAAUUUACCCUUGGGGUAGGGGUAAAUUGGUCAUUUUCUUAUCCGGAAGGAUUUUGGGACCACGAAUGGUAUUUUUGGGUAUGUGGUACUGAGACGAAUUCGUAAACACGCGGUAGGCUUGAAUCGGAGCUGUAACGAAAAUGUUACGAUCAAAACAUUAUCAGUGGCAAACUUGUAAAUAUUUCAAAAAAGUUUGAUAAAAAUCAGAUUUUUUCACUUCAGCUCUCUCUCUCUCUCCUCGCACGCACUCGACUCUCUCUCUCCUCAGUCUCUCUCUCUCCCCGACACCAACACACUCUCUCUCUUCGGUUCUCUCUGCACCGGCCACGGCCAGGCACGCCACCAGUCCCGAUCGAUUCGCCUCGAUGUCCCGAUCAAGUCUAGCCGAUUUUCCCCAUCGGAAACCACGAACUCCGGCCACGAGCUCGACUGGUUUGAACCAGAGCUUUCCGAUCGUCGCGCCGCCUCCUCCGCCGCCCAAACCUGGUGAGUGAGGUAUGGUUUCUCAUCCUUUUUCCGAGUUCUAGCUGAUUGUUGUAUAGGUUUGGACCGAUUUGUUGUCUAGAAAAUCGAUUAGAAAACUUAGGUUUUGGCCGGAUUUCAAAGUAAAAUUCCGGCCAGUUGCCGCCCGAAUUGGACCUUCCCUUAGUUGAAUGAAGUGAUCCUGACCUUGAGUAAAAGCUAGGAUAUGAAGGGUGAGCUCGGGUGGAGUUUUUCCGUUAUCGGAAUUACUCUGCACACCCACGAGCUGCCGGCGCCUGUGGCUGCGCGUGGGCGAGGCUGGUAAAGAUGCAAUUUUACCCGAUGAGAUCCUUAUGUUGUCACGAGCGUAUAGAAAUUCACGGAUCUCAAUUCGGAUGUCGUUUGGCUAUCGAACGAAUUUUCGCAUAUUGUGAGUUAUUGGGUUCGAUAGGUUCCGACCAUUGGAUCUUUUUCAAAUUAAAAUAUGUUGUUCUAGGUAUUCCUAGGACCGUAUGGGACUUCACGGAUUAUGAAUCGGGGCCCUGGAUGUUUCGAUUCAAUAAUGCAAAGUUGGCUGGUUAGCGAUAACCGUAAAAAUCGUGAACGAUUCCUAAACCUGUAAUAGGACCUUAGGAUACCUUCUUCAACGUGCACGUAUUGGGAAUUUGGGGAUUUAAGCAUUUAAUUUGUGAUUUCCACUUCGAUGUAAUUUUAUAUUAAUUAAGGUUCGUAUCUCGAAAUAGGUGUUUCGACUGCACGUACUCAGCAAGCAGGACCCUCACGUGGUCAGGCAGCGUGGGAAUAUUUGUGAGUGGACUUUGUUUUCAAUCAAUGCAUGGUUUUAUUGAUGAAGGAUUUUUGCAUAAUGUUUUUAUGGCUUAUUGAAUAUAUUAUAUUCAUGAGAUGAAUUUGAUGUUGUAUAGCGCGUUGGCAAUAUAUUGUGAGUUUGGCAUUUUGGGUAUUGAGAGUGUAUUUUUAUAAGGGUUGUGGGGAAGUAUAUGUAUAUUAUUCUCUAUAGACGAGAUACUUGGGUUGUUGAAGGGUGUUGUGGAAGAACUUGAUUAUGAUGGGUUGUUGAGAGAAGUUGUAUGAUUAUACUAUGUAAGUACCUUCCCCAAGUAUUAGACUUUUCACACGCGGCGUUGGAUGUUCCGGCGUGUAGGAAGAAUAGGUUACCCGUCUCACUCGUGGCGUUGGAUGUUCCGGCGUGUGAGACACUUUCCAUAUGCGGCGUUGGAUGUUCCAGCGUAUGGAAAGACUCUGUAUAGUGUUUAGGGUCAUCACCCAUGGCGUUGGAUGUUCCGGUGUGUGAUGAUCCAGUCUGCGCACGUAGGACUUAGUUUGGGAGCCACACAUGGCGUUGGAUGUUCCGGUGUGGGAGCUUUAGAGUUUCGUCCCCCGGUUGGACCGCUCAUCCCUAGACGCAGGAUAGCACCUGGAAAUCCUGCGAACUAGUCAAACGAUUCCCUAGUUGGAUUGCUUCCCCGGUACCUAGGUAGUGUGAUGAGUAUAUCGUAUAGCUAGUUAUAGUUAUAUUCUUAUAUAUAUAUAUAUAUAUUUAUAUUUAUAUGUAUAUGUAUAGUUGAGUGAGUGAAGAAUUAGAGUUUUUCAGUGGUUUGGCAAGAGUUGUAAAAUUGAGAGAAUGAGGUUUUUGAAGGAGAUGAUUUGUAUUAUGAAGAGUUUUAAAUGAAUCAUGUUUUGAGUAAUUAAUUUGAAUUGUGAACCUGCAUGACUAGAGCAUUAUUUUUACAUGGUGGGGUUAUUAUAUUAUUUUUAACUGCGAAUUUGGUUUUUGUCCACUCACAUGUUUUCUGUUUUGCGCCCCCCAGCCAGUAGUCGCUCUAGGAAGCGUGCAAGUGGUGUUCGAGGCUCGAACUGUGAAUCUUCCUAGUUAGGAAUUGAGUAAUUUCUUCUACUCAACUGUUCUUGUAAUCUAAAUUCAAUAGAUGCUCUAUUAUCGCCCAUGGUAGAUUUUACUUGUGAGGCCGGAGGCCAUUUUAGUAUGACUUGUUGAAUUAUGAAAGCAUGCUGCUGGUUGGGAUUUUUAUUUGAUGUGCGUUGCAGGUUGAAAUUUUUUGUUAGGUUUGCUUAAAUUACAGGGGAGACUCUGCCAAAAUUUUUGGUAGAAAGUCUCGAUUUCUUAGUAAGUGGGCCCGGCAUCGGGAAGAUGUCGGAACAAAGACGGGGUCCGCUUCGGUUUCCAGGAAAUUCCGGGGCAGGUCCUGUCAUGCUGAACCAAAUUUGUAAGAGAAUUCAAUCCAUUAUAAGUUAUGAUUGAAAUACAUUGUUAUAUUGCAAAAAGAAUCUCGUCUUCUUUUUGGCUGUCUGAGAUUUUGUUUGAGUUGGGUUGCUUCCUAUAGAAGAUUGCUUGCUUGCCUUUGAUAAUUGCAAGAUCAUUUGAUCUUUGAUUUCUUUUGAUCAGUCUAGACUGAUUGUUGAGUUUUUGUUUGAUUGGUUGGUUGGUUGGUUGGGUCCCCUCUCCAAUCCAUGCAUUCUUGUAUUUAUAAGAGAAAAAUGAUGAUGAAGAUUGUUAAGCUCAUAAUUUCAUGCAUAUACAUGCCCUAUUUACUCACUCAUUUUGCUUAGUUUCUUAGAAUUUUAGGCCAAUAGAGCGAAAGAGAAUAAUUCAUGCAAUUCAAGCAUGUUAAGGCCAGAUUGGGAUGAAUGGAAGAAGAGCUUAAAGACAAACUCAUUUUGGCUACAGGCCCUCGCCAGUCCAAUUUCGUAAGUCACAUUGCAAGACUUGUUUCAGCAAACUACACAACUCAAAUGAGGCAUACUUCUGCAUGAAAGUUGUUCCAAUGGUUGUCUAUUAUAACAUAUCCAAAAUUCAGCCCUAUUUGAUAAAUCUGGAGUCCGUCACCUAUCAAACACAGAACCAUGCUCAGGAUGGAUUUUGUCAACGUGCCAAAUGACAUGUGGCUGAAAAGAAGACAUUCUGAACUUCAAGUUUGUGGGCUCAAAGUCAUCAUUUGCUUAAGGGUAGCCCAAUUCGUAAGCCUUGAAGUUGCUGGUCAUGCUAACCUAAGGAUGAGCUAAGUGUGCUUGGUCAUAAUGACAUAAGCAUGAGGUGUUAUUGAUUGUGGGGAAGUUAGGUGAAGCAUAUGCAUUUCUUAUAUUUGAGUGGAGUUUUGCAGCAGCCAAAGGGAAUAAAACAAGAUGAAGUGGGAGCUGCAAUACUAAGCCUAAAGAGAAGAAGAACUGUUUUCAAAUGCAAGUGUGUUUUAGGUGAAAUAGGUGUGGUUAGUGAACUUACUUGUAUAAUCUGAUUCACUUAACCCUUAUACCUAUAAAUAGAGAGUCUCCAAAGAGCUAUGUAGUCAAGAAAAUUCAAAUCCAUCAUUUACACUUACAUUGUACACAAAGAGAGGAAGAGUUAAGAGUCACAAAGGGAGAGAAGAGAAAAGGCAGCAGCUGGGAGGCUUUGGCCUCCUGGCAGCCAUGGAGAUAAAGCUUUUCCAUCUCUAGCAUGAUGUCCCUAUCUUUUUCUCCUCCCUUUGUCUUUUAUUUUCUUCUUGUAUUUCCUUAGCUUUACUUUGUUUUUCUGUCAUUAGUUAAUAAACAUCUUGCUAGUCUUGUAUCAUGGUUUGAGUUUAUAAAGUUUGAUUUCAUUCAUGAAUUCUUCUUCACUGUUUUAAUGGAGCUAUUUUGCAUCCUUUGAUUGAUCACCUGAGGAUUUAUGCAUUUUGCUCUUGUUGGUUGAUUGAUCACCUGAGGAUUUAUGCAUUUUGCUCUUGUUGGGAAGGUUUGGGGAUCAUCUUCAUUCCAUCCAUUAGCAACUCAUAUGAUUUGGUUUCCAGGACGCCUAAUGUAAACACAAUGCUUUGGGGUCCUUGUGAUGUUCAAUGCAAUUUGAUCCAAACUGUUUAGGCCAAAAUUCUACCCGUCAUCCCAUUUUUGUCGAGAGGCCCAUGAACCAAACAUUUGGGCUUUCAUCUAUAGGAAUCAUAAGGAAAAAAACCAAGACACUAGAAAAGCCCAGAUCCUUUUGAACAAAUUACAAAAGCAGCCAUGAUCUGAAAAGAAUAAACUACUAUUAUUUACAAUUAAAGAGCCGAUACACACAGUGUUGGAUAAAUGCCCAACUUCUGAGAAGAUCUCACCACUUGGUCUCUAUCCCAAAAAGCCAAAACAGCAUAUCUUUUUCUCAAGGAAGCGCCAGCGUGAAUUUCUGACUUUGAAAAAGUCAAAAUUUUCAACUAUCACAGAGGAGUUGAUAAGGAGUUAAUGAAGGCAGGUUUUACAGGAAGACUUCUCCAUUGUUUGCAGCCAAAGAAAGAAGAUCAAAAUCCCUUUUUAUAAACAGAGAAACUCUACACUAAAGCAGGUGACCUUUCCAAGAGAUAAGCAGACUACAUUCUCAAGAGAUAAGUAGGGAGCAAGGGAGUUGUUCAACAGGAAAAGCAAACUGACCAUCAUGACAAAUUGUGUAAUAACCCAAACCUUAAUUAAUAUUUAAUUAUUAUUUUAUUAGAAGGAAAUACAAUUUUGCCCUUGGAAUAAUUUAUUAAAGAAAAGUUAACUUUUUGACAGAGAAAGAAUUUGACAAUUCCACACACACCGUUGCGUAAAGCGCGACGAAAUGAGUCCGUAGACACGUAGCAAGCUUAAAUCGGAGCUUUAACGAAGAAAAUAUGGUCAAAAUACGUAGAGGGGCAAAAUGAUAAUUUGCAAAGUCAGAAUUUUAAAACCCCAAUUCUCUCUCUAUCACGAUCUCUUCUUCCCCUGGUUCGAAAACCCCCCAGCCGAACCUCCAUAACUACCCAGCCACUGCCACACCUCGCCCCGACCCACCAGACUGGACCUAAUCGCACCAGCGUCAGCUCCGCCGCCAAGCCCGACCUUCCCUGCCACUCGGCUGUCACGGUUUCGUAGGAAAAAUUGAAAAUUUCAUCCGGUUUAGUUUGAAAUUUCACAGCCGUCGAUCUCCGUAUUCUGACCACCAAAUUGGACGAUAAAGGUAUGGACCCUUACCUAUUUUUCAUGACUUAGCUGUUGGUUGGGUAGGAUUGAACGAUUUCUAGCCUAGGUAGAUCAAACCACAAUCCAAAGCUCGGUCGGUUUUGAGAUUGAAAUUUCGGCCACUUUCGGCUAGUUUUUGGGGUACGUCCAAGAACAAAAGUGGUUCCAAAUAGGUUGUUUUACAUAGAGUAGGAGUUUGGGCCGGUGGUUUGGAGUUUUUCCGACUGCCAGAAAUUUAUCAAGCCACCCACUCACUGCCGGCGCGUGUGGCGGAGCGUGGGCAGUUUAGUGGAGACCACAUUCAGUCCUAGAAUGAUCCUCGUGUUGUCAUGAGCGCGUAGGAAUUCGCAGAUCUCAAUUCGGAUACCGUUUGAGCCUCGAACGGAUUUUGCAUAUUGUAUGAUUUCCGGGUUCAAUACAAUUGAGCCGUUGGAUCGUAAUCAUUUUCAGAUAUCUUAAUCUACACAAUUCCAGGAUCGUUUAGGAUUUGACGGAUCGUGAAUCGGAGUUCCCAAUACUCCAAAAUCGCGAACCCUAGGGCUAGGGUUUUAGAAAUCAUUCGAUUGUAUGAUCGUGAUCAAUCCGACCGUCCGAUCGAGAUCAAACUCUCAGGACAUGUGUCCUGGGUAUAUUGGAACUUCUAGAGGCUUAUGGAUCAUAAUUUUGUGGUCGAACGUGCACAGGGUCUGGCUCGGAUUCCAAAAUGGAAUUUGGGUCGGGUCCUAUCCAAUUGUGUCUUUCCUUCUUUACAAGGAACAAAUAGAGAACAAAAGGAGUUGAUUUUCUUUUUGGGAAAAGCAAGGAAAAGAUCACCAUGGGAACUUAUUAUUGAUGGUUCUUCUCUGCCAGAAUAGAUAGCUUCCCCUUUUUGUGGCAUUUAAAAAGAAAGAUCUUUUGAAAAGAUUUGCCGUCCAUUAUUCAAAGAUUAAAAACCUUACUCCAGCAUUUCCUAUAAAAUAAGAGAGAGGGUGAACAGAUGAAGGACAGCCUAAAAAUCAAUCAAGAUAAAAACUCUCAAAGUCAUAACUGACAAACUCAAAAUGAUCAAUUGAUCUUAAAAGCCUUCAAACACUGAAGUGACCAAAGCUCAUCGAGCCACAAGAAACAAAUCAACUAUAAUUCAAAUCUCUGUUUUCGGUUCAGUCAGAGAAACUGUUUUACAAAGCGAGAUUUCUCUUGUUACAAAUUUGGUUCAGCACAAAGCCAAGUCAAGCAGAGUCAGGAUUUUUCACAAAUAUGAAAACCUCAACAAAUUUACAGAAAGCCUUGGUCAAGCAGGACAGGCACCAUAGUGCAGUUCCAGCUCAGUGACCAUCAAUCGAGCCACUUUUGUUCUCUUCAGACUGGAGAUGCCUCAAUUCAACCCUUUCAACAAGCCUUCCAUGGCUCGAAAUAAAUUGAAGCUCUGCCAAACUCAAAUGUCGGUAUCCAUUUCCAGCUAAAACUCAUCAGUUGAAGGUGUUGACGAUCCAAUCCAACACAGACACAUCCAAUCCAGCCCAGUUCAGAAGCAGCUACCCAGGCAGAAAUUGAAGUCGAACGCUCUGCUGUCUAUUCUGGAGUUGGCUUUUUCUCUUUCUGAGCUUUGUAAUGAGCAGUUCUGCCUAAACAGUUUACUUUCUUUUCAUUUAUUCUGGCCAAAACUACCAAUUUUGUACUGUGAAAAAUUAUGAAGUUCUCACCAGUCUGAGGCGAGAAAAGAACUUAUUUGAGAGAUAUUCCUCACCCAAAUUCACAAUUGCUUGUUUAAAAGUCAGUAACUUGGGGCGCAAGUUAUCUAUUUUUUAGAAGUCUGCUAGGGUUUUGAACUGCUAGCAGUGGCACGCUCACGCACAAAAGAAAGUUGAUUUGUUAACCACUAAUGGUUGUCAAGCCAAUGGGGAACUUUACCAUACCAUCACAGGAUUAAAAUCAAAACGGGUGAACACAAACACCAUGGACUUAUUUGUGAGGAUCGUCAUGAUUGAAUCAAUUUUUUUACUUGCUGCCAUAACGUGAUUAGAACAAUUAGGGUGGAUUCUAAAACCUCACCAUCUUGUCUUAGUUCUUUUCUUUCUUCUUCUUUUGUGUUCUUUUGUGUUCUUUUGUUUUCAUUUCUGUUUUGUGUAGGAAAACUGAAUUGGAUCAUUCAAUCAUCAAUCCCUGUGAAAUUGACCUUGCACUUACAUAUGCUAAACUACCAACGACUCGUGCACUUGCGAGUAUCACAAGUUGAGGAUGCAGCUGAAUCCAUUAUGGUGCAGCGUUGAAUCGACGCAACAAAGAUAUGGAUUUUUUUUUUUAAAAUUUUGGACUAGCCCCCAUUUCAUGCAAAAGUGGCAAAAGUUUUGUCAUUCCAAUGCAUUGAUCGUUUUUGGCACCUGCUCAUCAAUACUCCUGAAUGUCUCCUAAUCAUUCCUUUUGCAACAACUAGACUGAAGCAAGCAAUAAUUUCUAGAUUCCUCCAAUGUUGGUACCAUAAAUAACCAAAUACUCUUGGAAAAGAAAAAAUCCGAUGAUCAUAUAAUAAAUAGCCGUGAUUCUCAAGCAAGUCUAACUUUUACUUUUCAACUUUUAAGGUCAUCAAUUUUCCUUGUAGUUUAGUCACGAACGAUGAGGAAAUAUCCUUAAAAACUUUAACAGCUAAGAAAUUGUGAAUUUUGGACUGAAACUAAUUGAAAUAAUUUGAUUCUUGGAUUAAAUCACCACUUGUGGUAAUUCAUUUACCAAUUUAUCAAAAAAUCAUGAAUUAGUUAAAUCCCCCUUUGGCUAAAUAGUAAGGACUAGUCACCAUUUUUGAUAAACACAGCCCAACGUUUUGUAAAAUGAACCCAAUAAACCAUUUUGGCUAGCUCGUAGGAUUUAAGCCCAAACAAUACCUGUUCGGCUAGAAUUUUAAAAAAAACAAAUUAUUUUAUUAUUAUUCUAUUUUUGAUAAGAUUCUAGAAAUUUGUCUAAUCUCAUACCGGAUGUUUUGGGGGCACUUUUUUAUGCCAUGCGUUCUCUGAUGUGCAUUCAGGGGCUUAAUAAAAUAGUCUCACUUCGUCAUCUUUUUAUCGCACAAACACGUAUUUGCACAUCAAAAUUCAACACUUCGGUAUUUCUCUUCCAAUUUCAACCAUAAUUAGUAUUGUCUCAAAAUGACUUCAAACAUGACUCCAAAAGGCAUCGAUGCAUAGUGACUUGGAACACAAUCCUAAAACGUGUUAGUUGCUUGAUCCGAUCAUCAAUUUCAUUCAGAGUGACGAUUUUUUUUUUUUUCAACAACUCUUCUACAACAUUUGACCAUUUUUUUCUUGUUGAAAGUGACAAGUUUUGUCGACUUACAAAAAAAACUAUGCCAAAAUGGUAAUACUAAAGUCCUUAUCUAACCCCUAUAUCUCUUCAAUUGAGAGAUUUUUGGGGUUGACCCUUGUAGGAAGCAAGUGUUGGGUUCUUCAAAGACUAGGUAGAUAGAUAAUUCAAAAUUUUACCCAAUUUCUUAGGAUUUGGAUUUCAGCAAAGUGUUUGAUAGCAUUCUUGCCCUCCACGAAUGCUGGUCUAAAGAAUUUUAAUCGGGGGAAAGAAAACCCACACUCCAACAAAUAUUGUGUUUGAACAUUAAAGACUAAAAAAAUGUGUUUUAGCUAUAAUAUAGAAGAAGCCAGAGAAAAAAAAUUUAGCCCAGCCCUAUAUAAAUUCCUUUAUUCCGCCCUUGUUUGGGUGGGAUGAGAAAAUUUGUGUUUGAAAGGGGGAAUGGAGGAAGGGCCUGUAAAGAGGGAAGGGGGAUUGGAUUUCAAGGUGAGCGGGGUUAGUUGGAGCCACCGGAGGUGCACAGAUGAUGGGGUAAGGUGAUAUUUUUUUUAUUUUCAAUUUUAUUUUUUUAUAAUGAAUUUUCUAUUUUUAAAAUACCCUUGAAAAUGGAAAGACUAAAAUACCCUUAAAUAUAGAUGGAAAGUUGGUGUUAAAGUGAGAUGACAAAUCAUGAAUUUUGAAAAAUUAAGAUGUCAUUUCUCUUAAUUUUUUCUUUAAAAUGACAACUUGAUUUCAAGAUAUAAGUUCAUGUGACAUUUUAAAAAAUAAUAAUAAUAAAUUGCAUAACAUCAGAUUUUUUUUUUUUUUAUUUAAUGCAAAAAAAGGGAAAUUACAAGCAAAAAUCACGCGAACACGCAGUCCCAAACAAGUUGAAAAAGAAAGGAAUCGGACAAUUCAAAGGCAGACCCGCAUCCCAUAACUCUAUGACUAUUGCACCAAGUAAAAGGAAUGCCAGCAGCACAAGAGAAAUAAUUUCACCAUCAUUAAUAAAGCCAUUAAAAUCUGCCAAAGCAGACAUCAAAUGAGUGUAACCACCUAAUUUCUCACUAGGGGCGCAUAUAUUAUUAAAGUCCCCCAUAAGAAUCCAAGCUUCAGAAGCCGCAUGUUUGAGGCCAAGGAUAUCAAUCCACAGCUGAUGUUGUUUUUGUUUCUAGGGAUAAGCAUAGACAAAAGUAGCUUUCCAAUUUUUUUGGUCAAUAAGAUCUUGAAUGUGGCAGUGAAUGAAACGCUCAUGGGAAUCUAAAAUGGUUAUAUUAAUAAAAGAAGGAUUCCACAAUAAGAAUAUCCAUCCACAAUGACCAAGGGCAUGGAUACAAAAGAAACCAUCAAAACCAAGCCUCUGAGCAAUAACCUCAGCUCAACCCUAGAGGCUCUGGAAUCCAAAAUAUAGAAAACAUUCAAACUAGACGUACUAAUAUAAAAAAGGGCUUGCAAAAUAAAGCCAGGCCAACCACUGCCUUGGCUAUUCCAGAAUAACAUCUUCAUGGAUUGGGGCUAGGGGUGUUACCAACCAAGGGUUCAGUCUCCCUCAGAUACUCUCCAUGCAUCUCAACACUUGGAGCAUAAUUCUCUUCCACUUCCACCUCAUCACGAGUUCUCUUCUUAGGACUCUUGUAAGCGAAACCAGUGAAGGCACUGCUGCCUUCUUGGGAAUGAGCAGGGGCAAUCACAACAGCCCUACCCUUCCCCUUGCUAAUAUGGUCAACUGGAGAAAACUUAACCCCAACAUCACGAGACCCACCUCCUUCAGUAAAUUUGAUUCCCUUAGCAACUUCUUUAAAAGUUCUCCUAUCCCUUUCUUGCAUUUUGGCUUUGCCUUUACGGUUAGCCACAACCGUCCACCCUGGGUCCUAUACCUCAGUGGGCACCUUCUCACCCUGGUCAGAAUUUUCCUCUGCAAAAUAGUCCACAGUUAUAGGCUGUGGGAACACCAGUAUGACAUCAUCAGCUAGUUUUUGUUGCUCUUCAAACUCAAGGACUCAUUCCCUAAGGAACACAUUAGGUUCGUUCUCUAAUAUUUCAACCUGCAUGGCCACAUAUCUUUCCGGCUAAGGAGUGGGAAACCUUUCUCUUGUUACAUGAAUCCAAUUUUCAUUUCACCUGGGAAAAGCCAUCAGAAAGCUUUUGUUUGAAAUUUUGAUAGGGCAAAUGUGAUCGCGCUCCAUCUUCUGGCUACAAUAGAAACAGAUCGCAAAAAGGGCUUCAUAGCUAACAAAUAUUAUGGUUUCCUGGGGAUGCUCACCCAGAACUAGGCAUCUUUUUAGGGGCCUAGUUAGGUCUAACACAAGGUGAGCUCUAACAAACAUAAUCUGUUUACCCUCUGUAGACUGCAGGUCCACACUAAUAGGAUCUCCAAGGAUAGAGACCAAAUCAUAGAGAACCUCAGGGUCUUUGUAAUGGAGGGGCAGAAAGGGAAUUCUGACCCAGCCCACAAUGGAUGUCACAACAGCAUAAAAGGGUGAGAAAUCUGGGGUCCAGCGCUGCAGGUUAAAAAUCUGACCUUGGACAAACCAGGGUCUGUUAUCCAAAACGAAAAAAACAUCAACUUCAGCAUUGAACUCCACCUUAUACCAGUCUCGACCAAUAUGGUCAAUAGAGACCUCACCCUGCAGGUUCUUCCACUCACUCUUGAGCCUAUGCCUGAUAACUCUGCUAUUCACAGGAACUCCAAAGACUUUCCCUACCAAGCAGAAAGUCUCAUUGAGUUUGGACACUAGACGCAAGAGCAGAGGUGGAGACUUUGGUUUCAUUUCUUUCAAUCCUAAAGGUAAAUAUGCCCUUGUGUAACACAGAGGGUUCCACAGAAGACCUACUCCCCAAUCUGGGAGAAGACGUCGGACUCAAACUACGGGAUUUCGCCCGUGAAGAGCUAGCAUUAAGUUGAGCACUCAUGGUUGGAUGAGAGGAAAGUGAGCAAGGGCAACAGGUAUUAAGAGGAAAUUUAGAAGGUGAGAGUACGCGGUGGAGAUAUCUGGUUUUAAUUUUCUUAUAAAUAGCCAGUAUGAAGCUCUCAAAAUGAUUACAAACAUAUCCAAACCUCCAAUGCAUGCAAAGAUGAAGAAAGGGGAAAGAAGUUAUCUGACCAGAGUUGCUAAAAUCAGCAUCGAGCACCUCCCAAAUCAUCAGCAUCAAAAGGGGUUUCCAAUUUCUGGGGUAAUGAUUUAGUCUGAGACGAUCCUGGCCAUUAGAUUGAAAAAAGAAUGCAAGAUUAGAGUGAAUGAAAUUAAUGCAAGAUAGAGGACGAAGCAAAUUGCAAAAAUUGCACUUCCCAAAGGGAGUUCAUCAGCUGAUGCAUCGUAAAUCUCAAACGACUUCUUUUUAGCGCCACCUUGUGGUUUGGAUGAUGGAUCAACAAUCAUUUCGCAACCCAAUCACGGCAAAAGCUUUGGGGAGAAGAACCGAUUCAAAGUCUUCCCAAUACAAACAACCAUAGCUUCAGACCAACUUUUAGAUGUAAUAAUUGAACCCGCAAGCUUCACUUGAUCAUCCCUUUGAGCUUUUUGUCUUGCCUUUUUCUUCCUUCUUUUCCAAUUUCCCACCCUCUCAAGGACUGCCCUAAUCCCCUUUUUGCUCUCGUUCUUCAUUUUUCUGAAUUAAUUCAAUCAAUUCAAAAAAUUCAUUUCCAGGCACUUAUUUUUUCAUGGCUUGGGGGGCAAUGAACUAAGAAUCAAUCCUUGAAAACUAUAAACCAAGUAAAGAAUAAACAAGGCCUCUUUUUAUAUUUUGGCGAACGAAGAGAAGUACAUUGAACAUAAAUUUAUUCCAAAAAAACAGUGAAAUUGUUCCUUGACCUCCCUCUUGAGAUCCACACAUCUUUGCACAUCUAUUAGUGCGGGAUAGAUUCAUCCUAAAGACAACAAUUGCCAAACCACCCUACUUUGCAACUCCAUCAGAGCCGAGUUUUAUGUCCCCUGAAUUCCCAAUUCCUUAAGCAUUGCAGAUAUCGCAUUCCUAAUCGUUAAGGUCUCGGUAAAAAAGCUAACACAAGAGAAGACAAUGAGAAAAUGAUGCUUAUCGAGUCCUUCGAUGCCAUGUUGACAUGAUUACAUAUGAAUCUAAUCAAUCAUUGACACUGAAGUAGUUCCUAUAAACCAACCGUGGCCGCUUAAGUAGGCUAGCUGCAUCUCAGAGGACAAUAACUCAAAGAGCAAGGGAUAAAGGAUUGAGAGUCAUUCUUAUCUUUUGAAAAAUGGACAGAAAUUAGCUUCUUCCACUCCUCAACCAAAAUACAAUACAUUGUACCCUAAUAGAAGCAUUAUAUGCGCACAUUCUACAAAAUCAACUUUCAAGGGUAACCAAAGUCGGGAACCAUAAACAGAAGAAAUUCUAGCGACUCUACGGCAGGCAUUUGUUCUAAUAAGAAAGCAUAUAUAAAUCUAAUUAAAAACAGGUAGGCUGCCGAGUAGAAGAAUAAAAAACUGAAUUUACUUCCUGCAAAAUUUUAGUAAGAUGUGGGAUACAAUUUAAACCUUACUUUAAAGACAAUUUCUAGGGUAGAGGACAGCAUUAUAGUAUUGUGCCAAAUGCAAUCUAAUGCAUAUGAGUGAUGCAGCAUCAGGUGGCUAAAAUAAUUACAUCCUCACCCGUUUCAACAUAUCAGAUCAGACAGACUGGAUAUCUACCUUCCCUUGAUACACACUUAACAAUUCAGGUACUUCGCCAAGAUAUCUGUUCACAAAAAUCUCCAAGAACUGCUUCUCUGUUCGUUUCAGCAGAGAACCCAGAUUCAAGUUCUCAUUUAUGAAACCUUUCAACAACAGAACUUUAACAACAGAGCACCUUGGGAUAAGUCUCCUCUCCAAACUGAGACUGAGGACCACAGGAUAUUUGGCAAUCAUUCCUGACGACCAUCCCAUCUUGUUCACUAAAAGAUCCAUUGCUUGCAUAAGUUUCUUCUCCGAGACAAUCAUACACUGCGGGUUCUUCCUGAAGGCAGAGAGAAAAUCACCCUCAGACCAACCCCAUGUCUUAAGAACUUCGCGACUUCUACUCCAUACCAACUUAUUCUUACCGCACAAUGCACACAGGGCAUUCACUGAAGUUGAUUUUUCUAGAUUAAAUCCCAUUUCCUUAACCUCACCCACAAGUUGACCAAAGUUUUCAGCAUUUGCCAUCAAAACACGGGUACCACGAUUUAGCAAAGAAGAAAUGCAUGGUUGAGGCAUGCCCAAUUCUCUCAAAAGCCCAAUAUUUGGCACCACAUGCUUGCAGUGACCUUCCAAGAAAAUCCAUGAGUUGCGUUUUAAAACAGCAACAACAUUUUUCUCAGAGAGCAUACUCCUGAGGAAGUUAUAAGUGGGCAAAAUCCGAUUUCUCAAGCUGGCUGACAAAAGGUGUGGAUUAAAAGCCAGAGUUUUUGCAAAGUCCACUUUUGAAAUUUCAAGAGAGCUGAAAAACUCAAGCUUUGGCAAAAGGGUUUUCUCAGGAUCAGCUGAAAGAAGUUGUGGAUGUGACCUAAUAAGCUUUGAUAUCUGGGUUUGAGAUGCUCCAUGGUUUCUCAGAAGCUCUAAAACGGAGUCUGCUCUUUCUGGUGACUGCAACUUGACCCACUUAGAAGCUAAAAUCGCUCCUUCUGGGGACAAUCCACAAGUGUUUAUGAGGUAAGUGACUGUGAAAUUGUGUUGGUUUUCUGAGAUUUCAGAGGUGAUGUGUCUGCAGAGCAACUGACUCUGAAGAGAAAAAUGUGAGGGUUUUGGAUCUCCAACCAACACUCUGUUUGUUUUGGAAGCAAAUGUACAAGAAAAUAUUGAGUGAACCAAUCUGAAAGUCUUCAAAUUGCAGAGUUGAAUCAUGUUAGAGGUUGAUGAUGAACAAUUUCUACAUGAAAACUUAAAGCCCAAGCUGAUUCUCUGCCUUCAGAAAAUAUGCAGUUCUCGGCAUUCUAAAAAGAUUUGAACCAUCCAAAUAAAAUUGCCUGGUAUAGGAUAAACCAUUGCGGCUAGGGUAAGUUUUCUUACCAUUUUCACAACUGACGGUCACUGGCUCACUGCUGCCAUCCAUGGUGGUAGGAAAUCUUCUGCCAGAAAAACCUCUUCAGUCUUCAUCGCUACAAAUCAAAGCAAAGAAAUUACUCCAAUCCCAGGCAAUAAGAAAACCCAAAAAAAAGGGUUGAAUUUCAAACUAAAAAACAGUCGAGGGCAUUUGUUUCUUUGGUACAAAGGGCGAAGAACAUUUGGGCGAUGAUGCUUUGGUUUAUAGACGCUCUACGUGGUUACUCUCAGGUGCGGCCCAGAAGCAAUUUGAAUGCCUCUACUUGCAAUUGGAAUUUCGAUGUAUGAGUUUGUUUUUACCCAGUUUUGGUAAAUGGACCAAAAAUUGUCCAAAGGAUUAAAAGAAUAUCUCAAAGAUAAAGCCAGGUCCAUUAAUGUUUGUCAUUUCUUGAAAAGUCACCUUUUUCUUAACAGGCUUUUUGAAUAAAUUGAUGAGAAGGCCCAAAUCAUAAAUGACCAAAUCCUUAUCUUGCACUAAAGGCCAAAAAAUUGAUAAACGUGUUUUCUAGGCUCACAUAGGAGAUUAAAGGGGAUUAUCACAUUUAAUGACGACUUGAACUUUUUCUCUCCCAACAAGAAAACAAGUCGUAUAGAAGCCACCAAAACCAGAGAAAGAUCAAAUUGCCCAUCAGUUCUUCAAGUACAAAGGGGUCAAAUCAAGAGAGCUUCACAAGGAAAACUGACGGUUCCUGCCAAAAGCCUUCCAUCAUUCCCUCUAUGAACCAGUUAAGACCAACAAUCCAGCAGCUGACCUUGAACCACAAGCCAAAGGUCUUGUCGCAGUUUCCAUCAUUACAAGCUCUUUCAUCCUCUAUAAAUAAAGAAAGUCUACUUCGGAAGAAGAAGACUCUCUCUCCAAAAUCAGACACAACGUCUCAAAAAACAUUCAAAGAUUCUCAUAAUAACAAUCUGUCUACUUCAUUUAGAUAACCGGGUGACAACUACUGCAUUUAUCCAUCGUUGCUCUGCCAUACUCAUAGUAUGAUUUUCUUUUAAAAGUAAUAUAUUUUCAAUUCUUGUAAUCACUUAACUGGAUUGAGAAGUCUCCAGUCUCUCUUUCCUUGCUUUGUAUUUUAAAGAUAAUUGAUGUAUUAAUUAAAGAAGGUUCUGUUAUUUGGUUUACACUUAAAUUAAAUAUAAGCUAAAGGAAAUUCAUCUUUAAUAAGUUCACUUAAUUACCCAAAAAUGAAUUAUGGACUAUUUUAAUACAUAGAAUUGAAUUCCCGCCUUCUUCCCUUUAUAAAAGUCCAAAAGAACCAACGUUCGGGCCCGAAAGGGAAUAGGGGCUCGAAUGAAACAGCAAAAAUAGGAGGGAUAGGAAGUUGAGUUGGGCCCGAAUUAUACCGGUGGGCUCAAAUUAACUAUUAAUCUAGCCCAAGGACGAUAAAGAUAUUGAAACUGGUUGUUAAAACCCGAAUAAGGUUUACUAACCACGAACUUGGUCUCUCUCUCUCUCUCUCUCUCUCUCUCUCUCUCUCUUACUUGUUCAGGUAUCGCUCAUACUUGUCAAGUUGACAUUCGUGAAGGAAAGAAUAUUGAAGUCCUCUUGAUUGAGGCAUAGAAAAGAAUCAAUCCAGGCCAGUACCCCUCUUGGAGCACAAUGGCUUGAGAAGAAGUCCAGAAAAAGACGCGCGAGUCCUUAAUCAUUCAUAAACAUCCAUACCAGAUCUAUUGGGCUGGUCAUAUACCCAAUAAUGGCACGAUUACGCAACAUCACGAAUCAGAAUUGAGAAAAGUUGACGGAUAGGCCUCUAUCAGGCCCGCUCGCUUUUGGCAAACUGAUUCAACUUUCAAUUGUGUUCAAAAAUUAAAGGAGUCCUCUUUGCGAGCCAAGAGAUACCAUCCGAUCGGAUCAUUGGUGUCGAUCCAACGAACCUCUCCAUUCCUCUUAGCAGAGUUGACCCCCGCGGGCGGCAAAAAGGAACGACGGAAGGAAAAAAGGACCAACAGAGUUAUUUACAUUUUACGGUGUGUUGUCAAAAUCACAGGCCAUCUUGAUAAUGCAGUUAUAGCAGUUGGUUCCCUUUCUAUUUGGUAAUUAACAUCUUAAUGCUAAUACCAUGGUGGCUAAUGAUAAGCUUUUGAUACCUAAUGCUAAUACCAUUCUCUUCUUUUCCUUUCGCAGCGUGAACAUUAACGGAUUUGAACUAAUGUUGUUCAUUGGAAUAAAUGUGGCAAUAAGGUGAACAAGCAUUGCAUGUUGCAUUUGAAUGAUUAUUCUCAUGUUGGUGAAUGAGUUAAUUAAGGUUUUUAAUUUCUACGAAUAAUGCAGUGUGCGUGUCUCCAGUGAGCUUGGAUCAGGACGACCAAGAGCAGCCAAAUACUCUGUCUAUGUGACAGUAUUUCAGUGUCUUCUAAUUGGGAUUUUUUUCAUGAUUGUUAUUGUUUACACCAUAAUGAACCGAGCAGACCCAGCAUCAAAGCGACUAGCACCAAGGCAGCCACGCCUUCUCCCAUGCCGAAGGAAGACACACUUUCGAGGUGCCAGACACCUGCCGAAGCUCUCAGCUGCCAAACCUAAUCUCCAGGACACGUGUCGUCACCACAACGGCUUGCAUAAAGUCCCACAUUGGAACUUUGUGCAAAGCUCCCACUUUCACUUCCCUAUAAAUAGGGAACAGUACCCAGGUAAAACCAAGAACUACUCUCCCACUUUUACUGUUACUCUGCCAGAAUUACUACUUGUAACUGACUUAGGCAUCGGAGAGCCUUCGGCCGGCACCACACCGGUGUCCGAAGCUUAACGAUUGCUUCUCCUCUUUUUACCUUCUACAGGUCUCUCACCAACCCAUUUCACCAAGGGCCUCAGCCCUCUUCUCUGCUGAAGACUCAGCACAUCUAAUCACUAAAUUGGACUCAAUAUUGGCCGGGCCAUUUUGAGCAUCAACAGUUAUCUUGAUAACCAAAGACAGUUUUUCCCUACUUUUUACAAGUGAUAAGGAUCUGCAACAAGCGGUCGCCAAGCUAGCAUAUCUUCUUGGUAUAACUAUGUUGCUCAACAGCAUCCAGCCGAUAAUAUCAGGUACCCGUUUUGACGUGUGACUAAGUUUAUGAAAUGUUAUACAAAUAAUGCCACUUCUUCUGCUGAUGCCCAUGUUUGCUUGCUUGGUUCUUGAAGGGGUUGCAAUUGGUGGUGGAUGGCAGGCACUGGUAGCUUAUAUAAACUUGGGUUGUUACUACAUUUUUGGACUUCCUCUUGGAUAUCUUCUUGGUUAUAUUGCAAAUCUGGGAGUGAUGGUAAGUUAAGAUAUCAUUUCCAAAUUCCAAGUAGGUUACUUUAAUUCAAGAGUGUUUGAUGAAUUCCUGUGAUUGAUGCAGGGACUUUGCGGGGGCAUGAUAUGUGGAACUGCUCUCCAAACCUUGCUUCUGAUGAUUGUGCUCUACAAAACCAACUGGAACAAAGAGGUAUAAUCAAUAUUUCAAUUCAUUGCAAAUCAUAAACAAUGUGAGAUUUGAAAAUAUCCACAUUGAAAUGAAUCUGCAGGUGGAGCAAGCAACAAAAUGCGUGAGGAAGUGGGGUGGUCAAGACAUCACAGCUGGGAAUGGAGCUCAAAGUACCUGAAAUUCUUUGCUCCUUCAAUGUUCAAUGUUCAAACUUUUUGUUUUGGAUGAAUAAAAUCUUCAAGUACGAGUACAAAAAAGGCAAUGAUAUAGUGAGAUUUCUAGCUUUGCCAUUUUCAGAGGCCAAUGCAUAUUCCUCUGCUCAUAAGCUUAACGGUGUCGCCGCCUGUUUUUGGACUUUGGCCAACCAUUACCAUGAUUUGAGUAGGAUAUGAGCCACGCUACACCAAGCGACGGUCCUUUUUUAUUUUUUUUUUUUUUUUGCAAUUUCAAUUAUAUUUUCAAUAAAACUUAAAAGCCCCAAAAGAUUUUGGUUACUUGUCAAAAAAUAGACUUGUGGGUUGUUUUGACAUGGUCGACAACAUCAUAUUGCAAUGAAAAAAAAAACGAAAAAGAAGAAGAAAAUGUGAAUUUGCCUUCAUCAUAAUGAAUUUCUGUCAUUCUAGAGAAUGAGAUAUUUUUGGCACAAGAAGAUGACAAAAGUAAAGACAUAAUUGCUCUGCUUCAGUCUUUCACACCACACACUGUAAAUGUGUUAACUAUAAUGGCUCCUCACCAUUCCAUCACCAUGCUUGCUAGGUAGCUAAAGUGGCUGUCAUUGCCCACAAAACAACAAAUAUUGAAAAUAAAAUUCAUGUUCUAUAAGAGCAUAUAGUACUAUUGCUCAUAAACUCUCAUAUUCAUUGGUGAGUUUGGUUUGGAGUAAAUUAAUGGAACCGUUGCUCAAAGGCAAAAGCGAAGCGGAGGCAGCUGAUGAUGACUACGCGGCAGUGAGGAGCUUUGAGGAGGCCAUGUGGGUCUCUUGGAAGGAGGCAGCCAAGCUCUGGAGAAUUGCAGCUCCAGUGGCGUUUACAACUCUGUUUUAGUACCUGGUUGUGUCUGUCACCACCAUCUUUGUGGGUCAUCUCGGAGAUCUUGAGCUCUCUGCUAUUUCCCUUUCUGUCACUGUCAUCUCUGGCAUCCCUUUCGGUUUACUGGUUUACAUCUAUUUACAUCUGCUUCUGUUUCUAUUUCUAUUUCUAUUUCUAUAUAUAUGUGUAUAUAUGUAUCAUAUGUGUUCAUGUAAAAAUGUGACUGUUUACAUGCUUAUAUUGUUUUGAGUUGUUUACUCUUAUUAAUUAAUUAUAGGGAAAGGUUUAACUUUUGAGUGAGUUCAGUUACAUUUAUUAGGUGAAUAUAUGGUCACAUUCUCCUCAGUCUUUUGGCUAUAUAUAUAUAUAUAUAUAUUGAGAGAGAGAGAGAGAGAGAGAGAGAGAGAGAGAGAGAGUAUAUAGCAUAGCAGGUUGCACGUCUCCUUUUGAUUUUCUGUUAAAUGCUCAAGGGCUGUUUGACUUGAAUAUUUGUAAUUCUGUGGCCAAUUGCAGCGGCAAUUUUUAGAAAUGUUGCUUAAGAGAUGACUUGUGUUGGAGGAAUGAAAGAGAGACUAAUUUAAUUUAGCUAUGCAUUUAUGUAUGUAGCAAGGUAUGGCAACUGCACUGGGAACGCUUUGUGGUCCGGGUCUGUAGACCCAUGGACAUUUAAAAGGUUGAGUAAAGGUUUGUUAGAGUUUUGAGCCUUUGUGCCUUUGGGUCCACCAUCUGUGCUCGCAUCCACUUUGGGUAGGGUUCAAAAAUCUCUUUUAGGUCAUGAGGGAGCCAAAAGCCUCCCAUGAUCUUUAGUCAGACAAAUACUUUAAUGGAUUCAAUUAUUUUUUGUGUUUUAAGAAAUUAUUUGAUUGCAAUCAUAAUUCAAUCAAAAAAGUCAUUAGUCAUAAAGAGUCAUUACAAUUACGGAGAAGUAAUAUAACAUCAACAUUAUGACAAUCUAAUGCACCUCCAUUAAUAAUCACGCAGAGAUGUUAAAAUUUUGAGAAAAUAUCAGAUUUAUUCAGGUCCAUUCAUUUCAGCAUUUAUUGAUGUUUAGUACCAGAGACGUGGACAAUGGAGCAUCGAUUACCAUAUCAACUUUUUAGUUUGUGUGUGUGUCUGGUGCUGAGAAAAUCUUACCAAGUUGAAGGUGAGGUGGUUGGAUUCUUGUGCUGCUGCUGUGCGGUGCAAACAAGGGAAAUAAUUACACAUGGAUACGUACGUUGACAAAUAUAUGUUCCAUUGAGCAUGUAUAAUGUAUGGUGUGGGGCUUAGCUUAGCUAUAUUUGUACCAAACAGUCCGCAUUUCAAAUGGGAGGAGGAAACUUCGAUGUCUCAAGAGCGAUUGGUAGGUGGGCGAGAGAGUGGUGGUUCAAAACUUCAUUGCUUGGUUUUUGAAAUUACAUUGGAAAAUUUGAAUGGUGGGCUUUGAGUUUACGUUAGUCUAGCUAAAUCCAAGACCAUUCUUUGUCAAAUCUAUUGUAAUUAUUAACCAUCCAUAUCCCUUGGACGUUCUUUGAUAUUUGCAAACCUUCUGAGUUGUGACACUGACAUUCACCAAUGAUGAGUGAGAGCCACGUUCUUUGAUAUUUGCAAAAUUGGAGCAAGACGAGCUCAUGCAAAGCAUAGCUUACCUAAUUUGAUUUUUCUUUCUUCUAGAUUAAAAUUAACAAUACUUUGCAAAGUUUUCCACAAGCCGUGCAGAUUUUUUUUAUAGUACAAAGUCUACAUUACAAGAGGAAUGAGGAAGGGAAGUUUCACACACAUUAUUAACAGGAACGGACCUAGAAUUUCAAAAUAUGGUGGACUAAAUUUACCUUACUUACAAAACCUAAUUGUAAAUCCGUAAUUGAUAAUUCAUAACACUGAAUUGAAAAUCCCUAAUUUAUACUUCUUGAACCUUAAAAAAUCCCCAAAUUUUAGUAAUAAUAAUAAUUUAUACUUCUUGAACCUUAAAAUGACCCACCAAGAAAAUUGAACGUUUGAAGGGCUGAUGCAUGAAGUGGGGUAGGCUGUAGGGUGGGCUACAUGUGACUUUGGGCUGGAAAAUAAUAAAAGCCACCUAAGCUAUAACUCAAGUUAACCUGUGAUUGAGUCCAUCUCUGAUUGUUAAGGUGUUAUAAGGAUUCAGACUUGAGACUAAUAAUAUACAAAUCAAAGUCUUUUUACACAAACCGUGCAGAAUUUAUUAAUUAGUUCCUAAGCAAGCCUUGAUAUAUAGAUUCACUUGGAUUUAAAUAGGUUGCAGUCCAGCACUAAUUGGGAUUGUUUCUUUUUCCAUUAAUUAACAAAGUACAAAAAAACAAAAUAAAUUACACUCGAAAUAAAGUAAUAUUUUAAGUCAAAGCAAAGGAGUAAAAGUCAAAGAAGAAGUAUAUAAGUAUGGGACUUCAUUCUCCCGACGUCACAUAACCAAAACCAAACCAAACCAAAACCCAACACACACCACACCACCCAGCCUUAGCACCGUCGGAUUCAUCUCCGGCCGCCAGCUAGCUCCCUCCCACUUCAUAUCAGGGCCGUGCACGCGUUCCUGCAGUAUUUAAUUCAUAUGGAGGCGCCACUGCUUCCGGCAGUGAACGGCGGCGAUGUUCGAGACUAUGAGCCGGUGACGAGCUGGAAGGAUGCUCGGUCGGUGACGUGGAGAGAGACUCAGAAGUUGUGGAAAAUAGGAGGGCCCAUCGCCUUCACAAUCAUCUGCAACUUUGGGACCAACUCUGUUUCCACCAUGUUCGUCGGACACCUCGGAAACCUUCAGCUCUCUGCCGUCUCAAUCUCACUCUCUGUGAUCUCAACCUUCUCUUUCGGCUUCUUGGUAAAUUAGCUCUAGCCACCAUUUCAUUUAUUAAUUCCAUGCAUUUAAUUCACAUACCAUAAUUCAUAUAUAAUUAAUGGGGUGCACGCAACGCGCAUGUCGUCAAUUUACAUAUAGCCUAGGUGGGGUGAGAUUUAAUAACUCUUGUCUUUUUCUACUUGAGUUAUGUUUUUAUGAUUUGGGUUUCUUAUGUUGCACUUGUCUUCUUCUUCAUGCUUUUCUUUUAUCUGUUUUUUUGGGAGACUUUGGAAAAGGCUAAAAGAGUGAGAAAUUUUUUAAAAGAAGCCAAAAUGGACAAAAUUGCCCUUAUUUAUUUUUGGAUUUCUUAAGGAAUCCUUUAUAUUUGCAUGUCUUUAAUUUAAAAGUUGAGAAGUUUUUCUGUCUUUUUUGAAAAAGUUUUGGCUUUUUUCAAAAGUGAAAGUUUUUUUGUAACUAAAACCUAAAUUUAUUUUUUUGUUUUUAGUGUGUGUUAGGUAUUCCUCAGUUUUCAAAAUAUUCUGCAUUUUUAUUUAUUUAUAUAUUAAAAUGGUUAAAUGUAUAUACUUUCUGUGAAUUAGACGGCACACACCUUUCCAGUCUCAGAGACUGACUAAAGUUGAGUGGAGAGUUUUUCUAUGUUUCUUAUUGGAAGUUGUAGUCUUUGAAUCAUACUCUGUUUCACAGUUGAGAAAAGCUCGGAAAUGAUAAGAGAUUUUGUAUGAGAGAGAGAGAGAGAGAGGAUAAUGAGCCCAAAAUAUUUGAAAAAUCAACCCAAUUAUCCUAAUGGAUUAGCCUUUGUAUUUUGGAUAAACCAUAUUAACUAACGGUGAAAAAUCAAAUUUAAUUUAACCAAUUUUUUUUAAAAUCGAAAUCUAAUUAAAAGGAACACUCAAAACUCUGUCUUUCCCCCCUUUGAAUUAUUCUAAUGGGUUGUCUUACUAAUAUGGAAUUAUGUAUGUAUGUAUGUAUGUAUGCAUGCAUGCAUGCAUAUGAUAGAUCAUUCAGAUCAAAUGCAUGAUUGAUUGAUUGGUAUGCAGUAUCGACUAUGUAUGUAGCUUAGCAGCAAAACCUAUGUCAUGGAAUUGAAGGAGCUAAAUUUGAUAAUUUGUACAAACUUGUAGCUCGGCAUGGGAAGUGCAUUAGAGACGCUUUGUGGUCAAGCAUUUGGUGCUGGAAGGGUUAACAUGCUUGGAGUGUACAUGCAAAGGUCAUGGAUCAUUCUAUUUACCAGCUGUGUCAUCCUCACGCCACUCUACGUUUUCUCUGCCCCGAUUUUAAAGCUUCUUGGGCAGGACGAAGAAGUGGCUGACCUUGCUGGAACCUUCACCAUAUAUGUCAUUCCUCAGUUAUUCUCACUUGCCAUCACGUUCCCUUCCCAAAAGUUCCUUCAGGCACAAAGCAAGGUUGCUGUUCUUGCAUGGAUUGGUUUUCUGGCCCUUAUUAUACACAUUGGAUGGCUCUUUCUCUUCAUUUACGUGUUGGAUUGGGGCAUCUAUGGUGCAGCUCUAGCAUUUGACAUCACAGGUUGGGAACUUGCGAUUUGUCAAGUUAUUUAUAUAAUCGGUUGGUGCAAUGAAGGGUGGAGUGGUUUUUCAUGGUUAGCUUUCAAAGACAUCUGGGCCUUUGUAAGGCUCUCACUCGAAUCAGCUAUCAUGCUUUGCCUUGAGAUUUGGUAUAUGAUGAGUAUAAUCAUUCUUACUGGACAUCUUGGCAAUGCUGUGAUUUCUCUUGAUUCACUUUCUAUCUGGUAAGGACCCAACUUCCUCCUUUUUGUUCUUGCAACCACUUUCUACUUCUGCUGCUGAUCCUUUGUUUUUUUUUCUUUUUCCUUCUUAGAUUAGAUGGUUUAUGUACAUUUCCGCAUUCAAAUUAUGAUGUUUUUUCUUGGAUUUUUACUCAAUCAAUUGGCAUUGCAGCAUGAAUCUCAAUGGAUGGGAAGCAAUGUUGUUCAUUGGAAUUAAUGCUGCAGUAAGGUAAGUACCAAGACUACUUUUAUCAUUUGGUGUACUUUGUAUGUCAUUGUCAUCAUACACAAACAACACUUUUUGAGGCAACAACGAUGUUGUGCUUACAAUUAUCCCUGCCGCUGAUUUUUCAGUGUUCGAGUUUCCAAUGAACUUGGAUUGGGACGUCCAAGAGCAGCUAAAUACGCUGUCUGCGUGACAGUCCUUGAGUCUCUGCUCAUUGGGAUUGUUUGCAUGAUUGUCAUCUUGAUAACCAAAGACUACUUUUCUGUCAUCUUCACAAGCGACGCGGAAUUGCAACAAGCUGUUGCUAAGCUAGCAUUUCUUCUUGGAAUUACCAUGGUUCUUAAUAGUGUCCAACCCGUCAUUUCGGGUAUCAAUCGAGUCACUUGGCUUUUCCUCAGUUCCCUUUCUGUAUACAGGACUCUUCCCCCUUUUAAUUUUUACUGGAUUCAUGACUUCAGGUGUUGCUAUUGGAGGCGGAUGGCAAGGACUGGUGGCUUAUAUCAACUUGGGUUGUUAUUACAUUUUUGGCCUCCCACUUGGAUUCCUUCUUGGUUAUAAAGCAAACUGGGGAGUUAAGGUAAAACAUUUUCAGUCUCAGUUCCACAGCUAAAUGUUUGUGAGAUUCUUUCGUCUUCACGGUCUCUAAUCUGUGUUUUGUCCAGCUAGUUUUAAUACCAACAUUUGUUCAUUAUUUUAGGGAAUUUGGGGAGGUAUGAUAUGUGGAACUGCUCUUCAAACGUUGCUUCUCUUGAUAGUGCUUUAUAGAACCAACUGGAACAAGGAGGUCAGUUAAAUCUGUUAUAGGAAUCCAUAUGGUCCUUCAGUUUACUUUAUAACUGAUCACCAACAAGGAUUUUCAUUUACUUAUGUCUUCAGCAUUCUUGUUUAAAAGACAAUAAUCAUAAUCUUUUUUCUUGGCACAGGUUGAACAAUCUUCGGAGCGAAUGAAGAAGUGGGGUGGACAAAACGUUGAAUAUGAGAAGAUAGCUGACAACCAUAUAUGAACUUGAUCCUAAAAGAAAUUCACAUCAUGUUUCUCCUCCGACAAGAUAUCCUGAGUAACUAAAAUCUCCCUGCUUAUAUUGGCCUGAAUUUCUCUGGAAGUCAUGUUUUAGAGUUGCAGGGUGCUCUUCCAAAUUUUGUGUUGACAAUUUUAAACCAGCUUGAUUUGUUCCCGGCAGGAGAUUUUACCUCCCUGUCAGUAGUACAGAAUUUAAUUUACCUAUCAAUUUGAUUCAACUGGUUUGAUCUGAUUUCCCCUUUUCAGGGUUCUCUUUCAUAAUCAAUAGUUUAUGUUAAUUUUGGUACUAAAAGUCACUAUCUCUAAGAUCAAUAUGCAUAAGUUUAUUGUUAGAAUAGUAGCAAACAAGGGCUUGCAAAGGAGCAACAACAGAAAAAGAAACCAUAAUGCUAAAAACUAGCUUUCUCGGAGAUUCUCCAAUAAGUAUUUUAUGUUAAGUAUUCGUUACAUGCUUCUAAUCUUGGUCGUUGAAUUGUAUUCAUUAAAUAUGUUGAUAGUAUUUUAAAUGCAAUCCUACGGCCAUGCAGAAUUUAUUAAUUAGUUACUAAACAAGCCUUGAUAUAAUUAUACAUAGAUACACUUAGAUUUAAAUAGGUUGCAGUCUGGCACUAAUUGGGAAUGUUUCUUUUUCCAUUAAUUAACAAAGUAAAAAAAACAAAAUAAAUUACAGUCGAAAUACAGUAAUAUUUUAAGUCAAAGCAAAGAAGUAAAAGUCAAAGACAAAUUGGAACUAUAUAAAUAUGGGACUUCAUUCUCACCAAGUCACACGACCAAAACCAAACCAAACCAAAACCCAACACACACCAUCCCAGUUCACAACACCACCACCCAGUCUUAUCACCGUCGGAUUCAUCUCCGGACGCUAGCUAGCUCCCUCCCACUUCAUAUCAGGGCCGUGCACGACUUUAUGGCCAUAGAUGGAAAUAGACACAGAGAAGAAGACGGAGACAGAGGGAAGAGAAAAGAAGAAGAAGAAGGAAAAGAGAGAGAGUUUUCAAUUUUUAUUUUAUGACUAUUAUUUCAAUUUUCAAUUUUUUAUUUUAUUUUUUAUUUUUUAUUUAUUUUUAACGUACAAAAUGACUAUUUUACCCUCAUAUUUAACAGCAAAUUGGAUGAAAUGUUGCGAAUUUAGUACCCGUUUGGCAUUGCUUAUUUGGGGUAAUAAGUGAUUUUAAAAAAAUUUCGGGAAGCCCAACCUUGUUUGGUAACCUAUAAGAAAAUCACUUAUUUUUAAAAAUUGUUGUCAGAGAAAGUAAUAAAUGAAAGCAGCUAAUGACCUGCUUUCAUUUUCUGAUUAUACGGUAAUCAGAUUUGAGAAGCGCUGGGUUUUAAUGAACUUUACAAACUUCCGAAAAUACCCCAAUCUAUUUUCACGCUCUCUCUUCCUCCUUCCCUCACAUCAUGUUGCUUCUUCUCACAAUCUCUUCACAUAGCCCACUCCUCUCCUUCUCUUCCAUUAUGCCUACAGUUUUUUCUUGUUGGAUCAAUUGAAGCGCACUGCUGAGCCACAAGACUCAGGUAAGAGAUGCAUAUUAUGUUUAUUUCUUUUCAAUUUCAAUCGUCCCUCUUUCUCUUUAAUUUCUAGGGUUUUAACUAUCUUCCCAAAUGGAAAAAUGUCAUUCUCAUGCCAAUACGUGAUAUAGAAAACCAACAGCAAAAACGCACUUGGAAAAACAUCCCUGUUGUCUUUGUCUGUUGCUCUGUUACUGUUUGUCUCGCUUGCUCUGUUACUGUUUGUCUCACUUGCAAAAAAUAUCACAUCCUUCCUCACUUACUCACUCUUUCUCUUGUUGUUUCUCUCUAUUUGGGCAAAUAGAUUUCGAGGGGGUCAAACCUCCAAAGCAUAAAGCUCUUAUUUUUACUUGGAAUUUUCUAUAUUACCUUGGUCAUAACCUUCAAAGCAUAAAGCUCUAAAGAACCUCUUGGUGGUUUUAAAUAUUUUUAUAUUUCACUGUACUUGAAAUGCUUGCAUUUGUGUUAAUAUGAUAGAUUUUGUUAUGGUCUUGUUUUGUUUCUCUUCCUAAUCUCUGUAUCCUGAAAAACUAUUAUUGAUUCAUUGGUUAUGUUUUCAGUUUGAAAUUUUGGGUUCUAGAUGAAUUUUUAUAUCAGUAGUGAGCCACUGUUAUUUGGUAUCUUAUUGAGUUGCAAGUUGGUUAGGUGAAUUCUUUUUAUUAGUUUGGAGAUAGAGAUAAAGAAAGUGAAGUGUUGCCAGUUCAAGAGGCUUUCUAUUUCUGGUACUGUUAAUUACAGAAGAGUUUUGGUAUUUCCAAACUAAUUCAUGUACCUUAGUUAAUGUAGGGGUCCAUACAAACUUUCCUGGUGAAUAUCAGCUUCACAAGCCUGAACAAUUGAAAUAUUUCUAUCCCAAGCAUUUCCCUAUAUGUUAUAUAUAAUAUUUGAUUGAAAGAUAUUUGGGUCAUUAAUAGUUAAUGUGCUUUGAUCAUAUCGUUGAAACAUUUGAGGAAAGCUUGUUUUAUUUUCAUGUGUGUCUGAGGGGGGAAGAAAGCUGUGUUAUGAAAAUUUUAUUGUGAUGGCAACCUUUUGGUUUAUUUUGUAGAGUUGAAUGACAAAGCCUUUGAACAGUAAGUGGUAGUUUGGGGCUGGGAUUACUUGAGGUGUAUAGUUCAACUUUGGACAUUUUUGUAGGCAUUUCAAAUCAUAGUGACUUUCAACCCUAAAUCCUAAAAUGGUAGUGACUUUGUUCGGUGUUGUUUCUUGUUUUAGGGGCUAGUUUCCACAAGCAGUGUAAAUAAAAACUUGGAUAUUUAUGAAAUACUCUGUAUUUCGUAUCCUAAAAAAACAAAAUGAUUGAAGGAGAGUAUGAGACUUUUGGAAAUGAAAGUCGUUGCCAUAAUAUGUUUAGGAUGGAUAAAGAUGUAUUUACAUGAUUGUGUGAUGAAUUGCAAAACAAUUAUGGAUUAAAGGGUUCAAGAAGAAUGAGUGUUGCUGAGAUGUUAGGGAUGUUCUUGAACAUCUUAGGACAUGGAUCUGCAAUUAGGCAAGCACAAGAUCGCUUUCAACAUUCUGGUGAGACUGUGAGCAGAUAUUUUAGUAUCUUACUUGAUGUUGUAUGUCGUUUAGCUGUGGAUGUAAUUAAACCAUUGGAAAAUGAGUUUAACAACACUCCAAAGGAAAUCUUACAGGAUUCUAGAUAUAUGCCUCAUUUCAAGGUAACUAUUGCAUCUACUAUUAAAUAUUUGUCUAUGUUUUAUAAUGUUAUAAUUAAUAUUAUGUUUGUCUUUUUAUCACUUGUAGGAUUGUAUUGGUGCUAUAGAUGAUGUUCAUGUGCAAGCUGUAGUAUCUCCUUCUAAUCAAAUACCAUUUAUUGGUAAAAAGGGGAUACCUACCCAAAAUGUGAUGUCUGCAUGCAAUUUUGACAUGCAAUUUGUAUUUGCAUGUGCCGGAUGAGAAGGCACGGCCCAUGACACAAGGAUAUUUCUAUCGACUUUACGUGAUCAAAGUUUGAAUUUUCCUAAACCUCCAAAUGGUACUAUUUCUAUCUAAAGAAAAAGAAAUUCAUAUAAUUUAUAUUUAAAUUUUUUUACAUUGUGAAUAAUCUAUUAAAUUUUUUUAAGGAAAAUUUUAUCUAGUAGAUGCGGGAUACCCACAAAUGAGAGGCUACUUAGGACCAUAUAAAGGUGAAAGAUAUCAUCUUCCUGAUUUUCGUAGGGGUGUUCAACCGAUGGGUCAUAAAGAGGUAUUUAAUCAUGCACACUCUUCCCUGAGAAGUGUUAUUGAACGCACUUUUGGAGUAUGGAAAAAGAGAUAGAGUAUUUUACGCGACAUGCCUAGUUAUCCUAUUGCAAAACAAGUCAAAAUAGUUAUUGCAACCAUGGCACUUCAUAACUAUAUAAGAAGACAUGCCAAACGUUAUUGUCAUUUUGAUGAAAGUGAAGAUGACCUAAAUGGUACUCAAGAUGAAGAGAUUGAGAAAGAGGUUGAUGCACAACAAGAAAAUGGUCAUGUAACACAAGAAAUGGAGGCAUUGAGAAAUCAUAUAGCAGCAAGUUUAAUGAGUUCAUCUGGUUAGAAAUGUAUAUGAUUGCUUGUUUAUGACUAGUUUAAUUUUUGUUAUGACCAUAUUAUUGACAAUAUAUUUAUUUUUAAUUGAAUACUUUAUUUAUUUUAUAAUUAAAAUAAUUUUUACGGUGUGAUGGAAACAUAUUUAAUACAAAAAAAAUUAUAUACGUUAAAGUGAAAGUGCUUUUCCUUUUACCAAACACUUGAACAAAAAAGUCAUUUCAAUAUAAUACCAUUUUUAGUCAUUAUACACAGCUUAUAGAACUUUUACAAAAAAAUUUACCAAACACUCAAAAACUGAUUAUUGUACAAACAACACUUAUAACAAAAAGUUUACCAAACGCCAAACUGCUUUCUCUCACAGCUGAUUUCUCUCACAGCAAAUCUGACAGCGAUUAUUUUCAUAGCACAGCAAUGUCAAACUAACCCUUAGACGGCAGGGGGGAAAUUGGCCAAAAAAAAAAAGUUUAUAUCCUUAAUUUUCUAAAAAAAAAAAAGAUAGGGAGUUAAUUGAAAGUAAGGUACAAAUUCAGGGGGCAAAUCGCUAGUAUACCAAUUCUUGAAAACCGUCAACCAAGUAAAUAAAAAACAGGGCCUCUUUAUAUAUUUUGGCGAACGAAGAGAAGUUCAUUGAACAGAAAUUCAUUCCAAAAAACAGUGAAAUUGAUAACAAUUGCCAAACCACCCUACUUUGCACAUCCACCGGAGCAGGGUUUUAUGUCCCUUGAAUUCCCAAUUCAUCAACCAUUGCAGAUCGUGUUCCUAAUCGUUAAGGUCUCGGUAAAAAGGCUAACACGAGUUAAAACAAUGAGAAAAUGAUGCUUAUCGAGUCCUUUGAUGCCACGUUGACAUGAUUCCAUAUGAAUCUAAUCAAUCAUUGACACUGAAGUGGUUCCUAUAAACCAACCGUGGCCAAUUAAGUAGGCUAGCUGCAUCUCAAAGGACAAUUACUCAAAGAGCAGGAGAUAAAGAAUUGAGAGUCAUUCUUAUCUUUUGAAAAAUGGACAGAAAUUAGUUUCUUCCACUCCUCACCCAAAAUAUAAUACACUGUACCCUAACAGAACCAAUACACGCGCACAUUCUACAAAAUCAACUUUCAAGCGUAACCAAAGUUGGGAACCAUAAACAGAACAAUUCGGGCGACGCUACAGCAGGCAUUUGUUCUAAUAAGAAAGCAUAUAUAAAUCUAAUUAAAAACAGGUAGGCUGCCGAGUAGAAGAAUGAAAAAUUGAAUUUACUUCCUGCAAAAUUUUAGUAAGAUGUGGGAUACAAUUUAAACCUUACUUUAAAGACAAAAUUUCUAGGGUAGAGGACAGCAUUAGUAUUGUGCCAAAAGCAAGCUAAUGCAUAUGAGUGAUGCAGCAUCAGGUGGCUAAAAUAAUUACAUCCUCACCCGUUUCAACAUAUCAGAUCAGACAUCCUGGAUAUCUACCUUCCCUUGAUACACACCUAACAAUUCAGGUACUUCGCCAAGAUAUCUGUUCACAAAAAUCUCCAAGAACUGCUUCUCUGCCGGUUUCAGCAGAGAACCCAGAUUCAAGUUCUCAUUUAUGAAACCUUUCAACAGCAGAACUUUAACAACAGAGCACCUUGGGAUAAGUCUCCUCUCCAAACUGAGACUGAGGACCACAGGAUAUUUGGCAAUCAUUCCUGACGACCAUCCCAUCUUGUUCACUAAAAGAUCCAUUGCUUGCAUAAGUUUCUUCUCCGAGACAAUCAUACACCGCGGGUUCUUCCUGAAAGCGGAGAGAAAAUCAUCCUCAGACCAACCCCAUGUCUUAAGAACUUCGCGACUUCUACUCCAUACCAACUUAUUCUUGCCGCACAAUGCACACAUGGCAUUCACUGAAGUUGAUUUUUCCAGAUUAAAUCCCAUUUCCUUAACCUCACUCACAAGUUGACCAAAGUUUUCAGGAUUUACCAUCAAAACGCGAGUACCAUGAGUUAGCAAAAAAGAAAUGCAUGGUUGAGGCAUGCCCAAUUCUCUCAAAAGCCCAAUAUUUGGCACCACAUGCUUGCAGUGACCUUCCAAGAAAAUCCAUGAGUUGCGUUUUAAAACAGCAACAACAUUUUUCUCAGAGAGCAUACUCCUGAGGAAGUUAUAAGUGGGCAAAAUCCGAUUUCUCAAGCUGACUGACAAAAGGUGUGGAUUAAAAGCCAGAGUUUUUGCAAAGUCCACUUUUGAAAUUUCAAGAGAGCUGAAAAACUCAAGCUUUGGCAAAAGGGUUUUCUCAGGAUCAGCUGAAAGAAGUUUUGGAUGUGACCUAAUAAGCUUUGAUAUCUGGGUUUGAGAUGCUCCAUGGUUUCUCAGAAGCUCUAAAACGGAGUCUGCUCUUUCUGGUGACUGCAACUCGACCCACUUAGAAGCUAAAAUCGCUCCUUCUGGGGACAAUCCACAAGUGUUUAUGAGGUAAAUGACUGUGAAAUUGUGUUGGUUUUCUGAGAUUUCAGAGGUGAUGUGUCUGCAGAGCAACUGACUCUGAAGAGAAAAAUGUGAGGGUUUUGGAUCUCCAACCAACACUCUGUUUGUUUUGGAAGCAAAUGUACAAGAAAAUAUUGAGUGACCCAAUCUGAAGGUCUUCAAAUUGCAGAGUUGAAUCAUGUUAGAGGUUGAUGACGAACAAUUUCUACAGAAAAACUUAAAGCCCUAGCUGAUUCUCUGCCUUUAGAAAGUAUGCAGUUCUCGGCAUUCAAAAAAGAUCUGAACCAUCCAAAUAAAAUUGCCUGGUAUAGGAUAAACCAUUGCAGCUAGGGUAAGUUUUCUUACCAUUUUCACAACUGACGGCCACUGACUUACUGCUGCUAUCCAUGGUGGUAGGAAAUAUUCUGCCAGAAAAACCUCUUCAGUCUUCAUAGGUACAAAUCAAAGCAAAGCAAUUACUCCAAUCCCAGGCAACAAGAAAACCCAAAAAAAGGGUUGAAUUUCAAAGUUAAAAACAGUCGAGGGCAUUUGUUUUUUUGGGACAAAGGGCGAAGAACAUUUGGGCGAUGAUGCUUU